UGACAAGCUAACGCUGUUAUGGAUGUAAUAACACCGUGUCAUAGUUGGGCCUAAUCGAAAACCAUUUGCUUGAUAAAAACACACUUGAAAUGAUUUGCGAUGGACGAAUGUAUCCAGAGCGGCAUCAUUUCUAGUUGGUGGUUGUAUUUGUGGUGCGUGUUCUGGCACGCUUCAUAACUUGCUGCUUAUAGAACACGCUCUGUUUCUCGUUCAUCUUCAAUUGUUUCUCCAAUUAAAAGUAUCUGUUGUGAUCCGAGUAUGUAAGCUCUCCAAAUGAUAAUAGUGGCUCUCUGUUUGUAUUUCUCCCCUAAACACCUCUGAUGAUUUGGUUUUCUUUUGGAUUUUUUUAGUAAUGUUCAUUUUUUUUUUCAAUCUCCAGUUGCUUUGGUUACUUCUUUUUCCUUUUUCGUGAGUUGAACUGCACAUACUUAUGAUUUUCCAAAUCAAAUGGUUAAUGUAUGAAUCUCGAUGAGUAAGAUUGGUUCUGAGUGAUGUAAGGUGGGGAGUGCUGUCACUGUUAUACUUUUUGCAUUGUUCUUAUGAAGAUUGUAGAUUAAACCCAGGUAAGACAUCAUAUGCCAAAAAAAAAGCAUUUCUAUUGCAAACAAUAUUAUUUUUCUAGGAUCUUGAUAGGUGUCACGUGUGGCACAAACACAUGACAGUUCUGAACAGUUUUUUUUCUGGGUUUCAUUUUUCUUUUCGGAUGACAACUUUAGUUGUAAAAACCGUCAGGGUUGUAUUGUUUUGUGCCACACGUGUGGCACUUAUCAUUUGGGUUUUGCUAAGUAUGGAGCAACCAUUUAGAAUUUCUUCAAGGUAGUAUAUUUUCAUUCCUAUUUACUUAAACAAUUUUGUACAAAGGUCAGGCCUGAGCUAGGCCUUUAAAUGAAAAAUAGCUAUAAAGGAGUGAAAAUUACUAAAAUAUAUUAGUUCAUGCUUCAAAUGGGCUUUAUUCUUCAUUGAUACUAGAAGAACCCAUUUGAACUCUUCUUCCUAUGUGAGGCUCACUGCGUAGAAAACAAUGGCGGUAGCGAGCUGGCCCGGCACAAUUUAGUUACAGCUUCUACAGGAAUUGGUUCUGGGAACCUUUUUCGGUCCUGUUUUUCCUUUUAUUUUCUCUGUAGUUUCUAUAUUUUUAUAUUGUGGUUAUUAUAAAAAAUUGCAAAAUCCAAAAUAUCUUUAAAAUUUUAAAAAUGUUCCUAAGUUUCAGAAAAUGUUUGUAUUUUAUCAAUAGAUAUUCAUAAAUUUAAAAUAAGUCUGGUUUUCUUAGAACAUUAAAUUUUUUUAAAAACUAUUUGGACUUCAUACUAAAAUGUUCAGAUUGUUUUUAAAAAUAAUCACAAUAGGUUUAAAUAGUGUUCAUAGUUUUAGAAAAUGUUUUUAAGUAUUCCACAAUUUUUGAAAGAAAAUGAAAAACGAAAAAAUUCAGAGAAAAAUAGGAAAACAACUCGCUAUAGUAUCUUCACUAUACGAGCCAGCCUAGUCGGUCGCACCCUGUUUGAUUGUGUUUUGAAUCAGAAUGAUCGAAUCCUUUCAACGAUGGUUACAUGUCCCCUUUUAUAUCUCCCGAAGAGACACGACGAUCCCUCGAGGAGGCGUCGGUUCCAGGAGAUCGAAGGGAGGCGUCGGUUGCAGGACAAACCGCAACGACGGUUUGGGCAAGGGGAGAUUUUCCCCUAAUUACAGAAUUAUUUUAACACUCCCCCUAAUCUACGCUUGACCAUGUAGAUCAUCUUCACGAUUGUCCGGGAAGCUCUAUCAUCUCAAAAGAUUCUCCUUCAAAAGUUCUUCAUAAAAUCUUUGAUGAGGUCCUGAAAAAUAUACUCACAAAGAAAGAUAGCAUAAUAUGAUGUCAUUAAAAUGAGGAUAUCUCAAGAAGAGACUCCCCCUGACACCUGCAAGUCCCUAAGUCUUCGCAUACCAAUUCCAUGAACACAUUUCUGGAAUGUAGAAUUUGGUAGAGACUUGGUAAAUAAAUCAGCAAGGUUGUCGCAUGAUUUGACUUGCAGAAUGCUUAUUUCCCCGCUUUUCUGAAGAUUAUGGGGAAAGAACCAUUUAGGAGAAAUAUGCUUGGUCAUAUUACUCUUGAUGUAUCCUGUUUGCAUCUGCGCAACACAAGCUGCAUUAUCUUCAUAGAUAAUGGUAGGUGAUUUUAUCGAACCCAUUCCACAUGACUGUUGUAUGUGGUUUAUCAUUCUGCGAAGCCAUACACAUUCGCAUAUAAUGAAAUUAUUUCAGAAUGAUUGGUAGAUGUUGCCACCAGAGUCUGUUUCGAAGACUUCCAUGAUAUAGCAGUACCACCAUGUAGGAACACAAAGCCGGUCUGAGAUCUGGCGUUAUGGGGAUCAGACAAAUAGCCGGCAUCUGCAUACCCAAAUACAUCAGAGUCCUGAUUGUUCUGGAACUGGAAAAAUAGGCCAAGAUCCUUUGUGCCUUGGAGAUAUCGAAAGAUAUUCUUCACUCCAGACCAAUGACGUUUGGUGGGAGCUGCGCUAUGUCUAGCAAGUAGAUUCACUGCAAAUGCAAUAUCAGGUCUUGUGCAAUUUGCAAGAUACAUAAGCGCUCCAACAGCACUAAGGUAUGGAACUUCAAGUCCCAACACCUCUUCUCCAUCAUCCCUUGGUCUGAACGGAUCUUUCUCUACGUCUAGAGAUCGAACCACCAUGGGAGUUUUAGAUGGAUAGGAUUUGUCCAUAUUGAAUUUCUCCAAUAUUUUCUGGAUAUAGGCAGAUUGGUGUACCAUGAUUCCUGAAGGAAGAUGCUCAAGUUGAAUACCUAAGCAAAAUUUGGUUUUACCCAAAUCCUUCAUCUCAAAUUCCAUCUUUAGGUGAUUGCGUGCUUCAUCAAUGUCUGGUGUGCUGCCGAUGAUGUUGAGAUCAUCAACAUACACAGAAAUGAUGCAAAAUCCUGUAGAGGACUUCUUGAUGAAAACACAUGGGCAAUCAACACUAUUGGAGUAACCUUUCCGAAGAAGGAACUCACUGAGUCGGUUGUACCACAUCCGUCCCGACUGCCUUAAGCCAUAUAAUGACUUACUCAGCUUUACACAAUACAUGUUGCGUUUUGCAUUUUUAUUCGGGACAGGGAUUCCAUCAGGAACCUUCAUAUAUAUGUCCGAAUCUAGUGACCCAUAAAGGUAUGCGGUCACGACGUCCAUCAACUGCAUAGAUAGACGAUUUUGCACUGCCAAGGAUAUAAGAUAUCGGAAAGUGGUUGCACUCAUUACUGGAGAAUAUGUUUCAGUGAAAUCAAUGCCGGGUUUCUGCGUGAAACCUUGUGCUACGAGCCUUGCUUUAUAUCUCACCAUCUCAUUGUUCUCAUUCCGUUUCCGGAGAAAAACCCAUUUGAAUCCCACAGGGAAAACACUGGGAGGUGUAGGUAUUGCUUCAGUGAAUAUCUUUCUUUUGUUAAGCGAGGCAAUUUCUGCUUGGAUUGCAUCCUUCCAUUUAGGCCAGUCGGAGCGCUUUUGGCACUCAACGAUAGACCUUGGAUCAUGAUCAGUGAGAAGAGUAUCUGCAAUCUUGUCAGCAAAAUAUAUGUCGACAGUCGUAGUCUUACGGUCAAAUAAUUCUCCAGAAUCAACAUAGUUGAUGGAAAUUUCCUGCACCCCUAAUGACUCUUCGUGAUUUCCCAAUACAAUCGAGUCUGGGUGUUCCGAUGUCCCAGUCAGUUUGUGCACACUGAAACUGGGUUGUAGAGGUUGCCCUUCCACUGGGUGUAUACUACCCAUCAGGUGUUUGUCAAUGUUGAGUUGACCUGCAUUUACUGACUCCGAGGUUUUUCUCCUCGAUUUCCUUUACUGCUUGCUAGAAGCAUGCUCCAGUUCAGAGACCGUACUACUCCCCCUCUUUUUAGGAAUAGUGAGUUGAGUGGUUUUUGUUGGUACCUCCACUCUUUCUGGUGCGUUUCUGGCCGGGUUUAAGGAUUUUGUAACACCUUUCAAAUCAGUAAACGAAUCUGGCAGAUUAUUUGCAAGAUGUUGCAAAUUAAUGAUCUUCCGAACUUGAAGUUCGGUCUCUUGGGUACGUGGAUCAGAGGAUGAAAUGGAAUGAGCAUUCCAAUCAAUUUCCGGGCAUUCUUUCUGGUACUUGAAAUCUCCCGUUAAUGCCGGAAAAUGUUCCUCAUUAAAUAUGCAAUCAGCGUGACGGGCUGUGAACAGAUCCCCAGUCAGGGGUUCCAGGUACUUGAUAAUCGACGGUGAUUUGUACCCCACAUAGAUCCCCAACUUCCUGUGUGGUCCCAUAGAUGUCCACUGUGGUGGUGAGAUCGGGAUGUAUGCAGCACAUCCGAACUUACGCAGAUGGGAAAUGCUUGGAGGAUUUCCACGUACCAAUUCCAGAGGGGAAGAACUGUGAUAUGCAGUUGGCCUCAAUUGUAUCAAGUCAGCAGCGUGUAAAAUAGCGUGACCCCAACAAGAGGUUGGCAAAUUGCAAUUCGUCAACAAAGGUCUUGCAAUGAGUUUGAUCCUCUUAAUCAAUGCUUCAGCCAAACCAUUUUGUGUAUGGACAUAUGGAACAGAGUGCUGAACUUCAAUCCCCAAAGCCAUGCAAUAAUCAUUGAAAGCACGUGAGGAGAAUUCUGCAGCAUUGUCCAUUCGAAUUGACUUAAUUCGACUUUCAGGAUAAUGGGCUUGCAACUUAAUGACUUGCCUCAUUAUCUUGGCAAAUGCAUGGUUUCGUGUGGAUAGAAGACACACAUGUGACCAUCGUGUAGAUGCGUCAAUCAGAACCAUGAAAUACCGGAAAGGUCCAGAUAAUGGCUGAAUGGGACCACAAAUGUCUCCUUGAAUACGUUCAAGGAACUGAAGUGGUUUAGCUUGUAUUUUGAGGUGUGAGGGCCUCAAAAUUAGCUUUCCCGUGGCACAAGAUGUGCACACAAAAUCAGAAGAUUGAGGAAAUUUUGACUCAAGCAAAUUAUGACCAAUGGAAUUGCUAGUAAUUUUCCUCAUCAUCCCUAUUCCAGGAUGGCCUAGGCGAUCAUGCCAGGUUUGGAAUGCGUUAACAUUCUGAAAAAUUACUUUGUAUGCAACAUGUUCCAUGGGUUUGAUGUACGUAUAGUACAAACCAGACGAUAGAGAAGGAAUUUUCUCAUGUACCUUUUUGCCAUAUCCAUCAUCUUUAGUAAAGAGUAGGUACUCCUCUUUGUUGUCUUCAUGGGUUUCAAUAUGAAAACCAUUUUUAUAACUGAUCAGGGUACGUGCAGAAUCGGGAUACAGUAAAGCAUCCUCAAUUGUCACAUAUGUACCACUUGGGAGGGUGAAUAUGGCACGUCCAGUACCAACAGUCACAGUAUCGCGUCCAGUGAUAGUUAGAUUAUCUCCAUUUGUCUUUUUCAGAGUUUGGAAAUAUUUCAUCUCCCUCAGUAUGGAGUUUGUGGCACCACUGUCCACAAGGCAUAAUUCCUCUUUCAUCGGAUUACCCCUGUAGAAAACUAUAUAAAACAAAAGAAUUUUCAAUAAGAAAAACUCAUAGUAAUAUAUAGAAUACAAUCUUUAUUAUAUCAAAUGUGCUGAUACAAUACAAUAUAAAGACAACAAUAAACUUAUGUUCUUAUUACAAUCAUCACAAAUGGACAUAAUUAAGUAGAUCACUAAGGAGAUUGAGGGACUAGUCGAAGUCGCCAAACACGUUGUUUGCAGUGUACUCAAUCAACGUGUUCUCCAUUUCAGUAGUAGCCUCAGGCAGAUACGGAACCACGGCGUUGCUUGGUCCAGGAGGAACAUCGUGCGAACCACCAGCUCCUUUUGCGCUAUCCGGAUGAAGGUUGAAGUUGGCUUCAAACCUUUUCCCUUGAGGUGCUUUGCGUCCCUGUGAUUGCUGGUACAUCAUAACCAGAUGCUUGGGCAUUGUGCACUUUUCAGUAGAAUGCGUGUGGCAUCCACACUUGUUGCAAAGCUUAGAUUUAUCAAACCUGGGCUUUGAAGUGCCUUUUCCCUUGCCUGGGUAUCUAGAUCUCCUGUUCCCAUUACGCUUUCACUUAUGCUCGAAAUUGGUUUGUUUACCCCGAAAGGUACCAUUAAACUUUUGUCUAUUUGCAACAUUCAGAUGGACUUCAGGUAAAGGUUGUGCCCCAACUGGGCGCUGAGAGCCAUUCUUAGCGAGUAGCUCAUCAUGCUUUUCAGCCUGAAGUAACAUGUGAAUGAGCUCGGAAUAGACAGUGUAGUUACGAGCACGGUAUUGCUGUUGGAGGAUCCUAUCUGAAGGGAGCAUAGUAGACAAAGUUUUCUCUAUCUUCUCCCCCUCAGUAGGUUCCUUCUCACAAAAGCGCAGUUUGGAACAUAUCUUAUGAAUAGCAUGAUUGUACUCACCAAUGGAUUUGAAAUCCUGAAGACGAAGAUGAGUCCAAUCAUGAAGUGCUUCUGGCAGGACUAUUGCCUCGAGGGCCAGAAACAGAGUACUAGGAGAUUCCUCCUGUAAAUACUCAGACUUGAGAUCUGGAUGAAUAUGGUGCCUUAUGAUGAAUAAGGCAGCAUAAUUCUGCUGUUCUGUCAGCGGCGUGGGCCCAUCCGGGAGAGGAGUCUCUGGGGGUUGUAUUGCACGCGCUAUCCCACGGGACGCAAGACUGAUCUUGAUGUCCAUAGCCCAUGUAGGGUAAUUGUGGCCAUUGAGGGCAAGCUCCUCAAACUCUUUGGCAGUCAUCUUUGCCUACAUGAUGAACCAGAGAUAAUGAAUUUACGGGUGGUAAAUUAAAACCAUCAUGGUUCUGUAAUAAGAACGCAAAAAUUUGAUGCUCAAGUGUAAAACUUGAAAAAUUCUCAACCUCAAUUAUGUGAACAUAACACUUUGAAGAUCACUUAGAUCUCACAGUAUUAGGCUAUAUCGCCAUUACCUUGUGUAUGCUACAAUUCAGAUAUAAGGAAUACACGUUGGAGGUAAUCGUUUGUCGAGAAUGACAAAACGUAGACCUCACAGUAAGAGAGGAUAGUCUGCAAAUGAGCAGUAGAUCACAACUCAUUACCUUGUGAUUCCAAAUAAGAUGAGGGAGAAACAUUCAAAAAUUCGCAAGUUUGAUAUGCAAGAGAAGAUCUCAAUCGCAAAGACAUGUUCGAUAAAAGUGAGAUGUGGUAAACACAUGGAACAUGUCAUUCUUCCCAGAUGAAAUCUGGUACUUUAUUUAUAUUAUCAAUCCAUUACAUAAUAUAAACACACUAAUAAUUACACAAGUCCUAGUCAGAUUUAAUCUAGAACUGGACUAGUAUGUAAGUAGCAGUCAAACUAGGUACUAAACAGUACUAAACAGAGUCUAAAACUGCACCAUAUACAAUAAUUAGUACUAGACUAAUAAAAACAGAAAAAAAAACUUGAAGACCACCGCCGAUCGAGGCCAGCCCGCAGCCACCCACACCACAUAAGGCGAGAGGUGGGGCGGUUACGGAUAAGGCCCGACCCGCACACCACGCUCGAUCCCCCCCCCACCACCUGCGCUUGCUAGGAGCAGGGAGACCAGUCGCCGGUGAUUGGGGCGAGCGCCGGCGCCUCCCCUCGCAUCUUCAGGUGUCAGCGACGCGACACCGAUGAGGUCUCUUCAUCUGAAGAGGAGACGACGACGGUGGAGGCCUGGCGCAGUGGAGUAGCGGUGAAGCCGAGGUUCGCCGGAGCCCAUGAGCCUGGACGACGUCCGGGGCGGCGGUCGAGGGCUGCGACGGCUCGCCCGAAGAGGCGGCCGAAGCGCCGCUCCGCGCGGCUGCUCGAGCCCGCGGCUGUCUCCUGUUGAGACAUGCCAGCGGCGCGACGGCGCCCUCCAUGCCGACUCCAAGGCGGACGACUCCAGAGGCACCGGUCGGCGCGGAGAGGAAGGCGAGCGCCUCCUCCUCGUUCACGAUGGCGCGCAUCGGUACAGGGGCGUAGCCAGGCGGGCGGAGGCUCGGGCCAACGGCCACGACAUCAGGCGUCGGCGUUGACGGCGGGAUCCAUGCGGCCGGCGGAGGAGGUGGUGGAGGCGGAGACCCAGUGGGCAGGGCACACGCGUUAGCGGCCCCAUGCAUCAUGGGGGCGCUCGGGCCGGCCACCAGCCAAGGGUCGUACCCCAUGGACGCUUGGCCACGGGCGCGGGGAGCACCGCAGUGGGCGCGUCCGGGAGGACGGGGACCGUGUCCAGGGGCUUGGUGAGCACCGCGACGGGCGCAUCCAGCGGCGCGGUGGCUGCCAGGGGCGGCACGUCCAGCGGCGCUCCGGCCGAACCGUCGGAUGGCUUGCAUCCGGCGACGGAAACGGCGGUGGCCACCAACUCCAUGGCGGCGAAGGGUAAUGAGGCGGUAGCGGCGACCGUCCUCGCGGAUCAGACGGAGGAAGAAGGAGACGAGGCCUGUCAUCUCACCGGCGGCGAGUGCUUCCUCUCUUCUCCUUUCUCUGUUGCCUUUUUGCUCUCGCUGGUUGUUCUACGGGCUGAGAACGUGUUUUGAAUCAGAAUGAUCGAAUCCUUUCAACGAUGGUUACAUGUCCCCUUUUAUAUCUCCCGAAGAGACACGACGAUCCCUCGAGGAGGCGUCGGUUCCAGGAGAUCGAAGGGAGGCGUCGGUUGCGGGACAAACCGCAACGACGGUUUGGGCAAGGGGAGAUUUUCCCCUAAUUACAGAAUUAUUUUUAACAGAUUGGAGACCCUUAUUUGACGCUUGGUUUAAUAUUAUUGAAUAUUCAAAUGGAGACCCUUAUUUGACGCUUGGUUUGACUAAAUGGCGCUCCUUAUGGGUCGACCCCAUUGAGUGUCUCACACGGUUCGCCUUACCCAAUGAUAUCUAUUGUCUUUUCACGAUUUUCUCUUUGGUUUUAGGUUUCUAGCCGGUUCUAGUUAGUUUUCCGUGUCUAUUUUUCAAAAUGUAUUAUGAAAUAAAAUAACAAAUGAAAAGAAGAUGCUUGCACUCUAGAAACCUCCAUAUGUUUUACAUAUCAACUUUGGUGAAGUUUAAAGAUACGAAAACAGAUACAAACACUUGUAUAUGUAUGCAACUCGCCAACUAGCACUAAGUCAUAUGCAAAGACAUAUUAUUUUGUUUAUUAUUAUUUUACUCUCUAGUGACACUGGAGACAAUACCUAAAAAACAAAUAACAUGUUUUUGGUUUGCAACAAUAUUUUUCAAUUAGGCAUUUAUUUUUAGUACGGUACUUUUUUUUUCAUAUUUUCAUGCAUUUAUUAUAUUCUAAAUUUUAGUCUAACAAGAACUUAUAAUAGUUUAAAGCGCAUGUUGAGUGAUUGGGUCAUAAAAAGUAAAAAAUAAAAUAAAAUAAUGCAAAUACAUGAUAGCCGUUUGUUAAUUCACUAUCCGACGUGUUAUUUGAGAAACUCAGUCGAUUAGCAGGAAGUAGAGUAUCUAAAGCUAGUGGCGGGGUUAGUUAUAAAGUCUCAAGUCAUUACAUCUUCCCGUUACAUGCACAUGUAUGAUUUAAGACUUUAUAACUCUGCCAUUUAUAACUAACUCCACCACUAGCUUUAGAUACACUGCUUCAUUGUAAUCGACUGAGUUUGAUUUCAUCUUCAAUCAUAAUUUUAUAACUACCAAAAUACCACCUACAGGUUUUCUCCUCGCAUCUUUGCCAUAUCUAAAAAUUAUUCUUGCCUCCACCACUUUCUAAGCUGUCAUUGGUUUUCUAAAAACAAGCUUGGAUUUUUUUGUGAUUGGCAAUGUGUCCGGAGCGAUAACAGUCCAAGUUAUUAGCAGUGCACUGGUGUACAUGAUUCAGUAUUAUGCGAGUCUAACAAAAUAUGUUGAUGCAUAUGUGAAAUAUGUUUGUUGUGAUAUAAAAGUAUAGGCUAUCCAAAAUAUGAUAGCCGGGUCUCAGUUUGUAUUUCAACCAUGAAAGAUUUGAGUUUACUUUAGUAAUUUAAAAAUAAUCAAUAUAUUUUUCAGUGAAUUUAUGAUAUAUCCCAGUACUAUAAAUAACUAGGCAUACAUUUAAGAACUCAACACUCGACUUUGCAUUAAAAUGUUUAAAACCAUUACUUUCUCUAUUCUACUUUUAAGACCAACUAGACCCGGGGAGAAAACUCAAAUGUUUGAUUUUGUAUUAAAAUCAUAAUUUAGAUAUUUUUCUAGAUGAAAUGGAACAUCGUUGCUAUCAUGUAUGAUUGUCAUGGGGUUCAGGGUGCUCAAUCUUUUCAACAUUUUUUUGCUUGGUCUUACGCAUUGUUCUUUGUAAUCCUAUAGUUUGUGUCGGUGUAUUUAUUGAAUGCUUCAUUUGUUAAUCUUUAUCUGCACAAUUGGAAGCAAUGUGUUCUCAAUGUUUGUGUUUUGGCAUGGAUAUAGAUGGAGCUUACAGAUGAUGACCUUGAGAAGAUUACUUAUGAAGAUAAAAUUGGAGAUUUCAUAUAAAAUAAAUCAAGAUAGAAUAUGCUUUUCAAUGCAAUUUGAGGCCAGUUUGUGUUAAUUUUGAACACCACAUUUACUCAUUUUAAAUUGACAUUUGAUGUGCUGCUAAAUAAGAAAUAAUAUAUUGUAUGUAAUAUAAUUAAGUGAGAACAUGAUUUGGUUAUCACAUUCUCUAUUUUAGGGACUCAUUUUGCAUUUUGCACUUGAGUCUCAUAUAUGUGUAGUCUGGUAGCAAAUGGCAAACAUUCAAAAAAGAACAUGAAAUAGCAUGCAAAGCUUUGCAUCAAACAAUAUCGCCAAUAUCAUGCUUUGAUGAACUCCAUGCACAUAUAAAAACCGUAAAGAUGAGAUAACUUUAGUUUCAAUGGCGUUACUGAUUGCUUGUAUCUGCGUUGUUAUUCCCCCGACGAGGAGAGGAUGAUGCAGUACAACAAUGGUAAGUAUUUUCCUCAGUUAUGAAACCAAGGUUAUCAAUUCAGUAGGAGAACCAAGCAACACUAUGUAAAUGAUACCUACACACAAAUAACAAAUACUUGCAACCCAACACGUAAGAGGGGUUGUCAAUCCUCCUCGGCAUUGAGAUAGAUUAAAUUAUAUGAGAUUGAAUAAAUAGAUCUAGCGAAAACACUAAAUAAAAUAAAUAAAGAAAAAGUGCAACAAGGUAUUUUUUUGAGUUUUUGGAAUAAUAGAUCUAAAAACAAUAUGAUAAAAGAUAGAACCGGGGGCCGUAGAUUUCACUAGUGGCUUCUCUUGAGAAAAUAACAUAUGGUGGGUAAAUAAAUUACUGUUGGUCAAUUGAUAGAAGAGCAAAUAAUUAUGACGUCCAACAUUAGUAGACCGACUCCUGCCUGCGUCUACUACUAUUACUCCACACAUCGACCGCUAUCCAGCAUGCAUCUAGUGUAUUAAGUUCAUGGAGAAACGAAGUAAUGCAAUAAGAACGAUGACAUGAUGUAGACAAGAUCUAUUCAUGUAGGAACAGACCCCAUCUUUUUAUCCUUAAUAGAAAUGAUACAUGCGUGCCUCGCUACCCCUUCUGUCACUGGGUGAGGACACCGCAAGAUCGAACCCAUCACAAAGCACCUCUUCCCAUUGCAAGAAAAAAUAAUCUAGUUGGCCAAACCAAACCAAAGUUUCGGAGAAUAAAUACAAAGCUAUAACAAUCAUGAAUAUAAGAGAUCAAAGAAGACUCAAAUAAUAUUCAUAGUAGAAUUGAUCAUAAGCUCACAAUUCAUCGGAUCCCCAACAGACACACCGCAAAAAGUCAUUACACAUCAAUAGAUCUCCAAGAACAUCGAGGAGAACAUUGUAUUAAGAACCAAAAAGAGAGAAGAAGCCAUCUAGCUACUGCCUACAGACCCGUAGGUGUGAGCUAAACUACUCACGCAUCAUCGAAGGGACACCAAUGAGGAUGAUAAAACCUUUCGUGAUUGUGUUCCCCUUCGGCAAGGUGCCGGAAUAGGACUCUAGAUUGGAUCUUGUGGUUUUGGAACUUGUGGCAGCUAGAAUUUUGUUUUGUCGACUCUCCUAGGAUUUCUAGAAUAUUUGGGUAUUUAUAGAGCUAAGAGGCGGUGGAAAGGACUCCCGUGGGCCCCACUACCCACCUGGGCUCGCUAGGGGCCUCUGGUGUGCCCUGGUGUCUUGUGGGCCCCAUGGGCCUCCCCUCGUGCACUUCCAUGACUCCCAAGUUGUCUCCUGGGCAAAAAAACUCCAAAAAGUUUCACUACGUUUGGACUCCGUUUGAUAUGGAUAUUCUGCGAAAUAAAAAACAAGCUAAAAACAGCAACUGGCACUGGGCACUAUGUCGAUAGGUUAGUCCCCAAAAAUGAUAUAAAGUUGCUAUAAAAUGAAUAUAAAACAUCCAAGAAUGAUAAUAUAACAGCAUGGAACAAUUAAAAAUUAUAGAUACAUUGGAGACGUAACAUCAUCCCCAAGCUUAAUUCCUGCUCGUCCUUGAGUAGGUAAAUGAUAAAAACAGAAUUUUUGAUGUGGAGCGCUGCCUAACAUGUUCAUCACAUAUUCUUUUCUUUUGUAGCAUGGACAUUUAGAAUUUUAGAUGAUCAAAGCAAUAGUCUAUAUUUGACAUGAAUAUUUCAAUACUCAAGCAUAUCAACAAGCAAGCAUGUCUUUCAAAAUAUCAACACCAAAGAAAGUUAUCCCUAGCCCAUCAUGCUCGAUCAUUGAUCCAUUCAUGAAACACAACUGAAUAUUAGCUACAUCCAAUGCACAAGUAUGAUCAUAGUGCUCCCUAGUUGGUGCUUUAUAAGAGAAGAUGGAGACUCAAAUUAAAAAAAUUGCAUAAAGUAAAUAGAUACGCCCUUCGCAGAGGAAAGCAGAGAUUUGUAGAUGUGCCAUAGCUCAAGGCUUAAAUUGAGAGAUACAAUAUUUUGAGAGGCAUGCUUUUCCUGUCAACGAAAAUGACCGAGAAUUCCCAAUACUUUCCAUGCUAGAUACAUCAUAGGUGGUUCCCAAACGUAAAAUAAAGUUUAUUCCCUUUUCGACCAUUCUUUCACAAUCCAUGGCUCGUUAGCCAUAUCCACGGGUGCCUUCCAUACCAACACUUUCCAAGGAGUUUAUUAUUUGACAACAUAAAGUAUUUUUUUUAUUUCAGGAUUGGGCAUCCCUAUUACUACCACACUCUCGUGCAAUGACAAGUGAAUAAACACUCAUCUUGAGAAUAACACGUCUAGCAUGGAAAAAUAUUGGCCACCCACUGCCUCUUCAUGAGCGGUACGGGCACACAAAAAGGAAAUUCAUUUUGAAAAAUUAGAGUUGGCACAUACAAAUUACUUGGAACGACAAGGAAAUACCGCAUAUAGGUAGGUAUGGUGGACUCAUAUGGCACAACUUGGUUUAAGGAUUUUGGAUGCACAAUUAGUAUUCCCACUUAGUACAAGGAAAGGCUAGCAAAUAGAUUGAGAAGGAACCAACCAAAAAGCAAAAAUUCUUAUAAACGAGCAUUAAGCAUAACUAACACCAAAUAAUGCAACACAAGUCGGAUGUAAUUUCAUUACAUAACUAUUGAAUUUCGUGCUUGCAUAGGGAAUCACAAAUCUUAACACCAAUAUUCUUACUAAAGCAUAAUUAUCACCAACAUGACUCACAUAUUACUUUCAUCAUAUCCCAAAACCAUUACUAAGAAUCAAGUUUAUUUUUUCCAAUGAUCUUUCAUGAAAGUUUUUGUUAUAUCCCCUUGGAUAUCUAUCACUUUGGGACUAGAUCAAUAUAUUACCAUUGCUUUUAACAAGCUCUCAAAUAAAUAUAUGUGAAGACCAUGAGCAUAAAUUUUUUCAUAUCUCAAAAUAAUAUAAGUGAAGCAUGAGAGAAUUUAUUCAAAAAUUUACUAACUCUCAAAUUAAUCUAAGUGAAGCAUGGGAGUAUUUCUUCAAAAAUUAAAGCACCACCAUGCUCAAAAAGAUAUAAGUCAAGCACUAGAUCAAUUCCAUAGCUCAAAAAAUUUAAGUGAAGCACAUAGAGAAAUUCUAAGAAAGCUUAGCAUCAUUAUGGCUCUCUCAAAUAGGUGUGUCUAGCAAGGAUGAUUGCGAAAAACUAAAACUAAAAACAAGAAAAGACUCAUAUAAUACAAGACGCUCCAAGCAAAACUCAUGAUAUGUAAUGAAUAAAAAUAUAGCUCCAAGUAAAAUUACCGAUGGUUGUUAGAAGAAAGAGGGGAUGCCUUCUGGGGCAUCCCCAAGCUUUGUUGUAUGGUUCUCCUUGAAUAUUAACUUGGGGUGCCAUGGGCAUCCCCAAGCUUAGGCUCUUUUCACUCCUUAUUCCUUCGUCCAUCGAGAUCUCACCCAAAACUUGAAAACUUCAAUCACACAGAACUUAACAAAACCUUCGUGAGAUCCUUAGUAUAAGAAAACCAAUCUUUGCUUUAAGUAUUGUUGCAAACCCAUUCAUAUUUUGUUAUUGCAUUACACCUACUGUAUUCUAACUUUACCAUGGCUUAUACCCCCCCGAUACAAUCAAUAGAUUCAUCAAAAUAAGCACACAAUGCAACGAAAACAGAAUAUGUAAAAAGCGGAACAGUCUACAAAGACUCGAAUUUUACUCAUGCUUCUGUAACUCCAAAAAAUCUGAAAAAAUAGGACAACAUAGGAAAUUCAUAUAUCAACCUUGUGUAAAAAAUGAGAGUUUAUGGUCGCUCCAGUGAUUUUUAACAAUUCUUCUACUGAAUGUAGAAGUUUCUGUUAUUCAACAAGAUCAAAUCAACUAUCACCCAAAGCCAUCCUAAAGGCAUUACUUGGCACAAACACUAACUAAAUCAUAAAAACACAAUCAUAACAGAGGCAUAAUUGUGUGAACAUACAAAAACAUAAAGAAAAAGAGAAAUAAAAAAUCUAUUUUAUUUAUUGGGUUGCCUCCCAAUAAGUGCUAUCGUUUUAUGCCCCUAGCUAGGCAUAAUGCAUAGAUUCAAGUAUUGCCAUAUUUAGUUUUUGCUCGACAGAAAUCCCUCAUGAUCGAUUCAUAUGGUGGCUUAAUUCUUGUUCUAGUGAAUUUUUCCAUAACCGUUCUUAGUGGAAAUUGAAAUUUAAUAUUCCCUUCUUUCAUAUCAAUCACGUCACCUAUAGUUCGUAAAAAAGGUCAACCAAGUAUUAUAGGACAAGACGGAUUGCAAUCAAUAUCAAGAACAAUAAAAUCUACGGGCACAUAGUUCCUAUUUGCAAGAAUAAGAACAUCAUUAAUUCUUCCCAAAGUUUUUUUAUAGUAGAAUACGCCAAGUGCAAAUUAAGAGAACAUUCUUCAAUAUUGGUAAGACCAAGCACAUCACAUUGAGAUUUCAAAAUUGUGGAAACACUAGCACCUAAGUCACAUAAAGCAAAGCACUCAUAAUUUUUGAUCUUGACUUUAAUGGUAGGUUACCAUUCAUCAUAUAAAUUUCUAGAAAUUUAAAUCUCUAAUUCUAACUUUUCUUCUCACCAUCGCUUCUAUAAUAUGUUUAGUAAAAGCUUUAUUUUGUUCAUAUGCAUUGGGUAAAUUUAACAUGGAUUGCAACAAAGAAAUACAUUAAAUCAAGGAGAAACUAUCAUAAUUAAAAUCUUUGUAAUCCCAAAGGGUAGGCACAUCACUAGUUAAAUUUUGACCUCUCCAAACCCACUUUUAUCAAUUUUCUCAAUAAGAUUUUCACUCUUUGAAUUAUGGGGACGCCUUCUAGCUAAAGUUGACUCUUCUUCAGUUCCUUUAUCACCAAGUUUAAUAUUACUAAACAAGGAAUCAAUAGAAAAACACCAAUCAUCUUAAGAUCUUCAUCAUUAUGGUGAAAGCAAUCGGUAGAAAACACUCUUUAUAGAAAUUCUCUUUUAGCUGUAAGCAUAGUAGUUCUUUUCUUACUUUCAUCCAUGGAAACAUAUAAAGCUUUAAUUGAUUCAUUGACAUCAACUUUGGGUGGAAAAUUUAAUCUUGAGAUUUUCUACAUCGUGUGAAAUUCUAUCAAUGCUUCUAGACAUAUCAUCAAGGUUACUCAAUUUUUCUUCUAACAUAGUUCUGAAAACUUUUUGAGCAUCGAUACAUUCUUUAAUAUUACUCUCAAGAUCAGAGAGGUUCCUAUUAUUAUUGUAAGAAGAAUUACCAUAGGAAUUGCCAUAAUUAUUAGAGGAAUUUCUAGGAAAAAGGCCUAGGAUUAAAAUUACCUCUAUAAGCAUUGUUAUUCACACUACUAGGGAAAAGCUUAUAGGCAGACACUUACUAGUAGCGCGGGUUUAUAACCCUCGCUACGGCUACUUACUAGUAGCGCAGGUUUUUACCCCUCGCUACUGCUAAGUUGAUAGUAGUAGCACGGAUUUUUAACCCUCGCUACUACUAAGCGGUCUCUACCGUGCCCUCCUGGGACAUGCCAUAGUAGUAGCGAGGGGUAUAAACCCGCGCUACUACUAAGUUCAUAGUAGUAGCGCAGGUUUAUACCCCUUGCUACUACUAAGUACGAGGUAGGUGAAGUCCCCAUAUCCUCGGACGAAUCCCUCCUCUCCCCUCACUCUUCCCCCUCUCUCCAUAGGCUCUCCGGUGGUGAGGUGCUCCUGCCCAAGCACAUCUCCUCCUCCAUGGCGCCAAAUGAGUCCGCCUCCUCGCGUCACCGGCGUCGAGGAGCUCGCCUGUCUUCCCCCUCGCCUCCUUGCGACCUCGACAGAGCACCUCACCACCAGUACUAGCCCCGAUGCGCCCUCCUUCUCCUUCCUUUCUCCCUUGUUUCUCUUUUUUCCUCUCCCUCUCCCUUUGACUUUACUCACCUCCUAUGCCCAUGCCUGCGCAGGUCAUCGACAUGGCCAACCAACAGCUCUCCGCCUUAGCCGCGAAGAGGAUCCUCGCAUCGUCGUCUUGCUCUACACUGGAUCCGGUCUCUCUUCAACAGCCGUCGUCGAAUCUGGUCUGCCGCUACCCGUCUGCACCUCCGGCGACCCCUGGCGUCGCUGGAUCGAACCAUUGACACCAUUAACAGCAUGCACGGGGUCAAGAUUUUUUUUGUUUUUGAAAUUAAUAGUAGUAGCACGGGUCAUAGACACGCGCUACUACUAACACACGUACUAGUAGCGCGGGAUGCACCGCGCUACUACUACCAGUUAGCUGUAGCGCCAUAUCAGUAGCGCGGGCACCCAUGCUACAAAUACCCCCAAAACCCGCGCUACUACUAGGCUUUUCCCUAGUAGUGUCAAGUUGUUUUGUGAGACAAAAUUCACAUCUAUGGGAUCACUAUUUUGCUCAAUCAAAAUAGACAAAGGCACAUCAUUAAGAUCAAUAGGAGCAUAUUUACUAGCAACCAAUUUCAUAAGUGCAUCAACUUUUUCACUCAAAGUAUUAGUUUCUUCAACCGAAUUAACCUUUUUACUAGUAAGUGCUCUUUCAGUAUGCCAUUGUGAAUAAUUUGCCACAAUAUUAUCAAGCAAUUUGGUAGCUUCACCCAAAUUAACUUCCAUAAUAUUACUACACGUGGCGGAACCUAAAAGAUUUCUAGAAACAAAGUUCAUUCCCGCAUAUUUUUUUUAUAAUCAUCCAUAGAUUUAAACCAUGACUAGGACACUUUCUUAGCAUCGAUUUCAUUCUUUCCCAAGAUUGUGCAACAUGUUCAUGUUCAAGUUGCUUAAAAUUCAUUUUUUGAUUUCUAAGGGAAAUAAUUUCACGGGCAAAAAAAUACUUAAUAAUAAAAGCAUCUUUGCACUUAUCCCAAGAAUCGAUACUAUUGCGAGGCAAAGAAGAAAACCAAUUUUUGCACGAUCUUGCAAAGAGAAAGGAAACAAUUUUAAUUUGACAAUAUCAUUGUCCACAUAUUUUUUGUUUUGCAUAUCACACAAUUCUACAAAAGUGUUUAGAUGGGACGCUGCAGUUUCAUUAGGAGUAUCGGAAAAUUGCUCUUUCGUAACAAGAUUCAACAAAGCAGCAUUAAUAUGAUAAGACUCUGCACUAGCGGCAGGAGGAGCAAUCAAAGUACUAAUAAAAUCAUUAUUAUUAGUAUUGAAAAAAUCACAAAAUUUGGUAUUUUCUUGAGACAUCAUGAGUACGCAAACAAUAUCACAUGCAGACAAAAGAUCGAACGAGAAAAAGGCGAACGAAAAAGAAGGCAAAUAUAUUUGUGCUUUUUGAAAAAAUGUUUUAGAAGUGGGGGAAAUGAAAACGAGAGGCAAAUGGCAGAUAAUGUAAAUUGCAAGGAGAUGAGAUUUGUGAUUAGGAACCUGAUAGAUGUUAUGUCUCCCCGACGACGGCGCCAGAAAUUCUUUCCUGAUUGCUUGUAUCUGUGUUAGUAUUUUACCGAAGUGGAGAGGAUGACGCAACACAACAACGGUAAGUAUUUCCCUGAGUUAUGAAACCAAGUUUAUCAAUCCAGUACGAGAACCAAGCAACACUAUGUAAGCGGUACCUACACACAAAUAACAAAUACUUGCAACCCAAUGAUACGUCUCCAACGUAUCUAGUAUCUAUAAUUUUUGAUUGUUCCAUGCUAUUAUAUUAUCUGUUUUGGAUGUUUAAUGGGCUUUAAUAUGCUCUUUUAUAUUAUUUUUGGGACUAACCUAUUAACCGGAGGCCCAGUGCCAGUUUCUGUUUUUUUGCCUAUUUUAGAGUUUUGCAGAAAAUGAAUACCAAACGGAGUCCAAACGGAAUGAAACCUUCGCGAGGAUCUUUCUUGGACCGAAAGCAAACUAGAAGACUUGGUGUUGAAGUCAGAGACACAAUGAGGUGUCCACAAGGCAGGAGGGCGUGCCGGGGGGGGGGGGUAGGCGCGCCCCCACCCUCAUGGGCCCCUCGUAGCUCCACCGACCUAGUUCUUUCGCCUAUAUAUACUCUCAUACCCUAAAUACAUCAGAGGGAGCCACGAAACCACUUUUCCACCGCCACAACCUUUUGUACCUGUGAGAUCCCAUCUUGGGGCCUUUUCUGGCGAUCUGCCGGAGGGGGAAUCGAUCACAGAGGGCUUCUACAUCAACACCAUUGCCUCUCCGAUGAAGCAUGAGUAGUUUACCAUAGACCUUCAGGUCCAUAGUUAUUAGCUAGAUGGCUUCUUCUCUCUCUUUGAUUCUCAAUACAAAGUUCUCCUCGAUGUUCUUGGAGAUCUAUUCAAUGUAAUGCUAUUUUGCGGUGUGUUUGCCGAGAUCCGAUGAAUUGUUGAUUUAUGAUCAAGAUUAUCUAUGCAUAUUAUUUGGUUCUUCUCUGAAUUCUUAUAUGCAUGAUUUGAUAUCUUUGCAAGUCUAUUCGAAUUAUCGGUUUCGUUUGGCCAACUAGAUUGAUCUUUCUUGCAAUGGGAGAAGCGCUUAGCUUUGGGUUCAAUCUUGCGUUGUCCUUUCCCAGUGACAGUAGGGGCAGGAAGGCACGUAUUGCAUUAUUGCCAUCUAGGAUAAAAAGAUGGGGUUUAUAUCAUAUUUCUUGAGCUUAUCCCUCUACAUCAUGUCAUCUUGCUUAAUGCGUUACUCUGUUCUUAUGAACUUAAUACUCUAGAUGCAUGCUGGAUAGCGGUUGAUGUGUGGAGUAAUAGUAGUAGAUGCAGGCAGGAGUCGAUCUACUUGACACAGAUGUGAUGCCCAUGUUCAAGAUCAUUGCCUUAGAUGUCAUCAUAAUUAUGCGUUUUCUAUCAAUUUCUCGGUAGUAAUUUGUUCACUCACCGUAAUACAUGCUAGCUACCUCGAGAGAAGCCACUAGUGAAACCUAUGGCCCCAGGGUCUCUUUUCCAUUAUAUUAAAGUCUGUUUUCCAUAUUGUUGAAUCUCGUUUACUAUUUUGCAAUCUUUACUUUCCAAUCUAUACAUCAAAAAUACCAAAAAUAUUUACUUUAUUAUCUCUAUUAGAUCUCACUUUUGUGAGUGACCGUGAAGGGAUUUACAACCCCUUUAUCGCAUUGGUUGCAAGUUCUUAAUUUUUUGUGCAGGUAUUCGGUGACUUGUGCGUCGUCUCCUACUAGAUUGAUACCUUGGUUCUCAAGACUAAGGCAAAUACUUACGCUACUUUGCUGCAUCACCCUUUCCUCUUCAAGGGAAAAACCAACGUAAGCUCAAGAGGUAGCACCCAACACGCAAGAGGGGUUGUCAAUCCCUCCUCGGUAUUGAAAUAGAUUAUAAUGUAUGAGAUUGGAUAAAUAGAUCUAGCGGAAACAUAAAAUAAAAUAAAUAAAGAAAAAGUACAACAAGGUAUUUUGGGUUUUUUGGAGUAAUAGAUCUGAAAACAAUAUGGUAAAAUAUAGACGCGGGGGUCGUAGAUUUCACUAGUGGCUUCUCUCGAGAAAAUAGCAUACGGUGGGUAAAUAAAUUACUGUUGGGCAAUUGAUAGAAGAGAAAAUAAUUAUGACGAUAUCCAAGUCAACGAUCAUGUAUAUAGGCAUCACGUCCAAGAUUAGUAGACCGACUCCUGCCUGCAUUUACUACUAUUACUCCACACAUCGACCGCUAUCCAGCAUGCAUCUAGUGUAUUAAGUUCAUGGAGAAACGGAGUAAUGCAAUAAGAAUGAUGACAUGAUGUAGACAAGAUCUAUUCAUGUAGGAAUAGACCCCAUCAAUUUAUCCUUAAUAGGAACGAUACAUGCGUGCCUUGCUACCCCUUCUAUCACUGGGUGAGGACACCGCAAGAUAAAAUCCAUCACAAAGCACCUCUUCCCAUUGCAAGAAAAAUCAAUCUUGUUGGCCAAACCAAACCAAAGUUUUGGAGAAGAAAUACGAGGCUAUAAAAAUCAUGCAUAUAAGAGAUCAAAUAAGAUUCAAAUAAUAUUUCAUAGAUAGAACUGAUCAUAAUAUUCUCAACGGCACACCGAAAGAUCUUCUAGUAAAAAAGUUCAUGCGAUUGAAGAAAUUAAUGUUUUGAGUGGAAAUAUGGAUGAACUCAUGAAAUUGUUUGCUAAUAAAAGUGUUUCUUCUGAUCCUAAUGAUAUGCCUUUGUCUGCUUUGAUUGAGAAUAAUAAUGAAUCUAUGGAUGUGAAUUUUGUUGGUAGGAACAAUUUUGGUAACAACGCGUAUAGAGGAAACUUUAAUCCUAGGCCGUUACCUAGUAAUUCUUACAACAACUCUUAUGGAAAUUUUAAUAAGAUGCCCUUUGAUUUUGAGAAUAGUGUUAAAGAAUUUAUGAGUUUGCAAAAGAAUUUCAAUGCUUUGAUUGAAGAAAAAUUGCUUAAGAUUGAUGAGUUGGCUAGGAACGUGGAUAGAAUUUCUCUUGAUGUUGAUGCUUUGAAACUUAGAUCUAUUCCACCUAAGCAUGAUAUCAAUGAAUCUCUCAAAGCCAUGAUAAUUUCCAUUGCUGAGUGCAAAGAAAUAAUCGCUAGGAUGCAUGCUAAAAAAGCUUGGUUUGUGAAAGCGUGUUCUUCUAGUUUUCAUGAUAAUAAUGAUGAAGAUCUAAAAUUGAUUGAUGCGACUCCUAUUAAAUAUUUGUUUUCCAAUAUGAAUCUUGAUAAAUAUGGGACGGGAGAUGAGUCAACUUUAGUUAAAAGGCGUCCCAAUGAUUCAGAGUUUUUAGAUCUAGAUGCAAAAAUUGAUAAAAGUGGAAUUGAAGAGGUCAAAACUUUAAAUAGCAAUGAAUCCACUAUUUUGGAUUUCAAGGGAUUUAAUUAUGACAAUUGUUCUUUAAUAGAUUGUAUUUCCUUGUUGCAAUCCGUGCUAAAUUCUACUCAUGCUUAUAAUCGAAAUAAAGCUUUCACUAAACAUAUCGUUGAUGCUUUGAUGCAAUCUUAUGAAGAAAAAAUUGAACUAGAAGUUUCUAUCCCUAGAAAACUUUAUGAUGAGUGGGAACCUACUAUUAAGAUUAAGAUUAAAGAUUAUGAAUGUUAUUCUUUGUGUGAUUUGGGUGCUAGUGUUUCUACGAUUCCAAAAACUUUGUGUGAUGUGCUAGGUUUCCGUGAAUUUGAUGAUUGUUCUUUAAAUUUGCAUCUUGCGGAUUCCACCAUUAAGAAACCUAUGGGAAGGAUCAAUGAUGUUCUUAUUGUUGCAAAUAGGAAUUAUGUGCCCGUAGAUUUCAUUAUUCUUGAUAUAGAUUGCAAUCCUACAUGUCCUAUUAUUCUUGGUAGACCUUUCCUUAGAACGAUUAGUGCAAUUAUUGAUAUGAAAGAAGGCAACAUUAGAUUCCAAUUUCUGUUAAGGAAGGGCAUGAAACACUUUCCUAGGAAGAAAAUUAAAUUGCCUUAUGAAUCUAUUAUGAGAGCCACUUAUGGAUGGCAUACCAAAGAUGGCAAUACCUAGAUCUAUUCGUGUUUUUAUGCCUAGCUAGGGGCGUUAAACGAUAGCGCUUGUUGGGAGGCAACCCAAUUUUAUUUUUGUUCUUUGAUUUUUGCUCCUGUUGUGACGCCCGGAUAAUCAUGCUACAGUAAUCCCACGCUAAUCAUUCCACAUCACCUCGGUUACUGUUGCUAACCUCGCAAUGAUUCGAAACUGUUUCAAAAUUUAAAUUCUAAAUAUGUCAAACAACAAACGUUUUCAAAGUUGAAACAAAAAUGUUCGGUGGUUGCCGAAUAUUACAAGGGUAAUUAUAAUAAAGAAAGCAUAUUUUUUGAAAGUGCCUGAAUAUUUUAAAAUGAAUUAAAACAGAAAAGAGAAAUAAUAAAAGAAAAUGCAAAACAGAAAACAAAAUAUAAAAAAAAGGAAGAACUUCCCCCCCACUGGGCCACGACCCAGCUAACCGGCCCAAUUUCCCCCUGGCCUAUAACCACCCCACCCCCGUAACCUAACCCUAACCGGUCCAUUCCCCCCCCCGAUCCACCUCUCCUCUUCCCCCCCCGAUCUGGAUCAGGAUUGGCCUCGAUCCCGCCACCCCGUCGCCCGAACCCCCACCGACGCCGUGCCGCCNNNNNNNNNNNNNNNNNNNNNNNNNNNNNNNNNNNNNNNNNNNNNNNNNNNNNNNNNNNNNNNNNNNNNNNNNNNNNNNNNNNNNNNNNNNNNNNNNNNNNNNNNNNNNNNNNNNNNNNNNNNNNNNNNNNNNNNNNNNNNNNNNNNNNNNNNNNNNNNNNNNNNNNNNNNNNNNNNNNNNNNNNNNNNNNNNNNNNNNNNNNNNNNNNNNNNNNNNNNNNNNNNNNNNNNNNNNNNNNNNNNNNNNNNNNNNNNNNNNNNNNNNNNNNNNNNNNNNNNNNNNNNNNNNNNNNNNNNNNNNNNNNNNNNNNNNNNNNNNNNNNNNNNNNNNNNNNNNNNNNNNNNNNNNNNNNNNNNNNNNNNNNNNNNNNNNNNNNNNNNNNNNNNNNNNNNNNNNNNNNNNNNNNNNNNNNNNNNNNNNNNNNNNNNNNNNNNNNNNNNNNNNNNNNNNNNNNNNNNNNNNNNNNNNNNNNNNNNNNNNNNNNNNNNNNNNNNNNNNNNNNNNNNNNNNNNNNNNNNNNNNNNNNNNNNNNNNNNNNNNNNNNNNNNNNNNNNNNNNNNNNNNNNNNNNNNNNNNNNNNNNNNNNNNNNNNNNNCUCGCCGGAUCUCCCUCGUCGGAAUUCCCCGAACUCCAUCGAGCCCGCUGCCCGGACCCUACUCCCCGCAGUGAGCACCCCCGUGCCCCUCCUCUCUCUCCCUCGCCCGGCCGCGUCCCCGCCUGGCCUCACGGCGCCGUACCACGCCGGCCGCCCCGAGCCCUCGACGCCUCCGCCCGCGCCUGCCCCGUCCGGCCUCAAGACGCGCCCCGCCCGCGCUCACCGUGGCCUCGCCCCGCACCGUUGCCUCACUCCCGCACCGGUUCCCUCUCCCCUCUGUCCCCGCGCGAGCACCACCGCUCCUCGCUCGCCCCGUCGACGGCGCCCUCGCCUCCGUCCCCCUGCUCCCCCGACAGCGCCGGCCCCGAGCGCUCCUCCCCGCGGUCGCCUCUCCACAGGCCACGGCCGGCGCGCCCCGCUCCGGCCAUGACCUCGCCGUGGUCACCGCUUCCCAGAUCCGGCCCCUGCCCCGAGCGCUCCUCCCCGCGGUCGCCUCUCCACAGGCCACGGCCGGCGCGCCCCGCUCCGGCCAUGACCUCGCCGUGGUCACCGCUUCCCAGAUCCGGCCCCUGCCGGGUCCACCCAUCUGGGCUGCGCUCGUUAACCCAUUAGCCCACACCCGCUUUUGGCCCUUGUGAGCCUAUGACAGGGGGCCCCACGCCCAGAACGUUUUUUAUAAAAAAAAAGAAAAGGAAAAAAAUAACAAUAAUAAAAAUAUUAAUUAAUUAAUUAAUUAAAGAAUUAAUUAACUUAAUUAAUCUAGUUAAUUAAACCUAAUUAACCUGCUAAUAGAUCUAACUACUGUCAAUUUGGAUAACAGUCUAUGACAUGCGGGACCCACCCAUUAGUUGACUGGUCAAUGGUCAACUUUGACCGCUCGCAUCAUGCUGAUGUCAUGAUGACGUCAUAAAUGCCUUUUUGAUUUAAUUAAUUCUGUUAAUCCUAAAAUGAUUUAAAUCUUUUAAAAUUAAUAUAAAAUAGACCGUAGCACGAAUGAUAAAACUUUGUACAUAAAAUUUGCUCAGAACGAUGAGACGGAUCCGGAUACACGGCCCGUUCAUCCGCCACGCGUCCCUAACAUAGUGAACCUGCAACAUUUCACCUCCGGUUCAUCUGUCCGAAAACACGGAACACCGGGAAUACUUUCCCGGAUGUUUUCCCCCUUCGUCGGUAUCACCUACUACCGCAAUUGGGCACACCUAGCAUCGUUACUUGACAUGUCAUGCAUCGAUAUGCAUCUGUUUACUUGGUAUUCAUUGUUUCUUCCCCCUCUUCUCUCCGGUAGACUACGAGACCGACGCUGCUGCUGCCCAGUUCGACUACGGAGUUGAGGACCCCUAUCUCUUGCCAGAGCAACCAGGCAAGCCCCCCCUUGAUCACCAGAUAUCGCCUAUUCUCUUCUUUACUGCUUGCAUAAGAGUAGUGUAGCCUGUUACUACUUUCCGUUGAUCCUAUUCUGAUGCAUAGCCUGACAUUGUUGCUACAUCUGUUGAUACCUUACCUGCAAUCCUAAAUGCUUAGUAUAGGAUGCUAGUUUAUCAUCAUUGACCCUACAUUCUUGUCAGUCUGCCUUGCUAUACUAUUGGGCCGUGAUCACUCGGGAGGUGAUCACGGGUAUAUGCUAUACAACAUACUAUACAGAUGGUGACUAAAGUCGGGUCAGCUCGAAGAGUACCCGCGAGUGAUUCACGGAUUGGGGGCUGAAAGGACCUUUGUCCCGACGGCCCUCUGUGUGGAUCUUUGUGGCGGAGCGACAGGGCAGGUUGAGACCGCCUAGGAGAGAGGUGGGCCUGGCCCUGUUCGGCGUUCGCGGAUACUUAACACGCUUAACGAGAUCUUGGUAUUUGAUCUGAGUUGGCUACGAGCCUAUACGCACUAACCAUCUACGUGGGAGUAGUUAUGGGUAUCCCGACGUCGUGGUAUCAGCCGAAGCACUUCGUGACGUCAGCGACUGAGCGGCGCGCGCCGGGUUGGACUGCGUUAACGCAACUUCCUUUGUAAUGGAGGUUGCUAGGUCUGCUCACCGGCCGCGUACGCAACGUGCAGGUGUGCUCAGGGCGAUGGGCCCAGACCCCUGCGCGCUUAGGUUUAGACCGGCGUGCUGGCCUCUCCGUUGAGCCUAGGUGGGGCUGCGACGUGUUGAUCUUCCGUGGCCGGGCAUGACCCAGGAAAGUGUGUCCGGCCAAAUGGGAUCAAGCGUGUUGGGUUAUGUGGUGCACCCCUGCAGGGAAGUUAAUCUAUUCGAAUAGCCGUGAUCUUCGGUAACAGGACGACUUGGAGUUGUACCUUGACCUUAUGACAACUAGAACCGGAUACUUAAUAAAACACACCCUUCCAAGUGCCAGAUACAACCGGUGGUCGCUCUCCCUCAGGGAUAUGAGGAGGGGAUCGCCGGGUAGGAUUAUGCUAUGCGAUGCUAUUGGAGAUGCUACUUGGAGAUGCUACUUGGAGAUGCUACUUGGAGGACUUCAAUCUACUCUCUUCUACGUGCUGCGAGACGGAGGCUGCCAGAAGCGUAGUCUUCGAUAGGACUAGCUAUCCCCCUUUUUAUUCUGGCAUUCUGCAGUUCAGUCCACCGAUAUGGCCUCCUUACACAGAUACCCAUGCAUAUGUAGUGUAGUUCCUUGCUUGCGAGUACUUUGGAUGAGUACUCACGGUUGCUUUCUCCCCCCUUUUCCCCCCUUUCCUUUCUUUCUGGUUGUCGCAACCAGAUGCUGGAGUCCAGGAGCCAGACGCCACCGUCGACGACGACCCCUACUACACUGGAGGUGCCUACUACUACGUGCUGCCCGCUGAUGACGACGUGGAGUAGUUUAGGAGGAUCCCAGGCAGGAGGCCUGCGCCUCUUUCGAUCUGUAUCCCAGUUUGUGCUAGCCUUCUUAAGGCAAACUUGUUUAACUUAUGUCUGUACUCAGAUAUUGUUGCUUCCGCUAACUCAUCUAUGAUCGAGCACUUGUAUUCGAGCCCUCGAGGCCCCUGGCUUGUAUUAUGAUGCUUGUAAGACUUAUUUAUGUUUUAGAGUUGUGUUGUGAUAUCUUCCCGUGAGUCCCUGAUCUUGACCGUACACGUUUGCGUGCAUGAUUAGUGUACAAUUAAAUCGGGGGCGUCACACCUAUUUAGUAAUAAAUAAUUCAUCUAGCUUCUGUUUAGAUGUGGUUUAUGUUUUAAUUAGUGUUUGUGCCAAGUAGAACCUUUGGGAAGACUUGGGUGAAGUCUUUGCGAUCUUGCUGUAAAAAACAGAAACUUUUGCACUCAUGAGAAUAGCUGUCAUUUUUCUACAGAAGAGUGCUUUUAGGUUGAUUCUUUUUGAAGAUGAUUAAUAGACAAAUUCCUCACGUGCAGAAAUUUAUUUCAGAAUUUUUAUAGUUACAUAAGUAUUCGAAAGUUAUAGAUUGCUACAGACUGUUCUGUUUUUGACAGAUUCUGUUUUUCGUGUGUUGUUUGCUUAUUUUAAUGAAUCUAUGAGUAGUAUCAGGGGGUAUGAACCAUAGAGAAGUUGGAAUACAGUAGGUUUAACACCAAUAUAAAUAAAUAAUGAGUUCAUCACAGUACCUUAAAGUGGCGGUUUAUUUUCUUAUACUAACGGAGCUCAUGAGAUUUUCUGUUGAAGUUUUUGUUGGAAAUAUGCCCUAGAGGCAAUAAUAAAAGGAUUAUUAUUAUAUUUCUUUGUUCAUGAUAGUUCUCUUUCAUUCAUGCUAUAAUUGUAUUAUUUGGAAAUCGUAAUACACGUGUGAAUACUUAGACCACAACAUGUCCCUAGUGAGCCUCUAGUUGACUAGCUCGUUGAUUACCAAAUAGUCAUGGUUUCCUGACUAUGGACAUUGGAUGUCGUUGAUAAUGGGAUCACAUCAUUAGGAGAAUGAUGUGAUGGACAAGACCCAAUCCUAAGCAUAGCACAAGAUCGUGUAGUUCGUUUUGCUAGAGCUUUUCCAAUGUCAAGUAUCUCUUCCUUAGACCAUGAGAUCGUGUAACUCCCGGAUACCGUAGAAGUGCUUUGGGUGUACCAAACGUCACAACGUAACUGGGUGACUAUAAAGGUGCAGUACAGGUAUCUUCGAAAGUGUCUGUUGGGUUGACACGGAUCGAGACAGGGAUUUGUCACUCCGUAUUACGGAGAGGUAUCAAUGGGCCCACUCGGUAGUGCAUCAUUAUAAUGAGCUCAAAGUGACCAAGUGUCUGGUCACGGGAUCAUGCAUUACGGUACGAGUAAAGUGACUUGCCGCCAACGAGAUUGAACAAGGUAUUGGGAUACCGACGAUCGAAUCUCAGGCAAGUAACAUACCGUCUGACAAAGGGAAUAGUAUACGGGGUUGCUUGAAUCCUUGACAUUGUGGUUCAUCCGAUGAGAUCAUCGAGGAGUAUGUGGGAGACAACAUGGGUAUCCAGAUCCCGCUGUUGGUUAUUGAUCGGAGAGCCGUCUCGGUCAUGUCUACAUGUCUCCCGAACCCGUAGGGUCUACACACUUAAGGUUCGGUGACGCUAGGGUUGUAUGAAUAUGAGUUGCAGCAAACCGAAUGUUGUUCGGAGUCCCGGAUGAGAUCCCGGACGUCACGAGGAGUUCCGGAAUGGUCCGGAGGUAAAGAAUUAUAUAUAGGAAGUGCUGUUUCGGCCAUCGGGAAAGUUUCGGGGUCACCCGGUAUUGUACCGGGACCACCGGAAGGGUCCCGGGGGUCCACUGGGUGGGGCCACCUAUCCCGGAGGGCCCCGUGGGCUGAAGUGGGAGGGGAACCAGCCCCUAGUGGGCUGGUGCGCCCCCCUUGGGCCCCUCCUGCGCCUAGGGUUGGAAACCCUAGGGUGCGGGGGCACACCACUUGCCUUGGGGGGCACUCCACCCCCCUGGCCGCCGCCCCCUUGGGAGAUUCCCAUCUCCAGGGAUGGCGCCCCCCAGGGGGCCUAUAUAAAGGAGGGGGGAAGGGAGGUCAGCCACACCCUGAGUCUUGGCGCCUCCCUCCCCCUGCUACACCUCUUCCUCCUCCCGCAGUUGCUUGGCGAAGCCCUGCCGGAGUCCUGCUGCAUCCACCACCACGCCGUCGUGCUGCUGGAUCUUCAUCAACCUCUCCUUCCCCCUUGCUGGAUCAAGACGGAGGAGACGUCACGCUGACCGUACGUGUGUUGAACGUGGAGGUGCCGUCCGUUCGGCGCUAGGAUCUCCGGUGAUAGGAUCACGACGAGAACGACUACCUCAACCCUGUUCUCUUGAACGCUUCCGCAUGCGAUCUACAAGUGGUAUGUAGAUGCAUCUCUCUCUCUCAUUGCUAGAUGAACUCAUAGAUGGAUCUUGGUGAACGUACGAAAAGUUUUAUUUUAUGUAACGUUCCCCAACAGUGGUAUCAGAGCUAGGUCUAUGCGUAGUUCUCUAUUGCACGAGUAGAACACAAAUCUGUUGUGGGCGUAGAUCUUGUCAACUUGCUUGCCAAUACUAGUAUUUUCUUGCUUCAGCGGUAUUGUAGGAUGAAGCGGCCCGGACCGACCUUACACGUACGCUUACGUGAGACAGGUUCCACCGACUGACAUGCACUAGUUGCAUAAGGUGGCUAGUGGGUGUCUGUCUCUCCUACUUUAGUUGGAGCGGAUUCGAUGAAAAGGGUCCUUAUGAAGGGUAAAUAGAAGUUGAAAAAAAUCACGUUGUGGUUAUUCGUAGGUAAGAAAACGCUCUUGCUAGAACCCAAUUGCAGCCACGUAAAAGAUGCAACAACAAUUAGAGGACGUCUAACUUGUUUUGCAGCAAUUGUCAUGUGAUGUGAUAUGGCCAGAAGUUGUGAUGAAUGAUGAAUGAUAUAUUGUGAUGUAUGAGAUCAUGUUCUUGUAAUAGGAAUCACGACUUGCAUGUCGAUGAGUAUGACAACCGGCAGGAGCCAUAGGAGUUGUCUUAAUUAUUGUAUGACCUGCGUGUCAAUGAUUUAACGCCAUGUAAUUACUUUACUUUAUUGCUAAACCGUUAGCUAUAGUGGUAGAAGUAAUAGUUGGCGAGCAACUUCAUGGAGGCACGAUGAUGGAGAUCAUGGUGUCAUGCCGGUGACGAAGAUGAUCAUGGAGCCCCAAAGAUGGAGAUCGAAGGAGCUAUAUGAUAUUGGCCAUAUCAUGUCACUACUUUAUAUAAUUGCAUGUGAUGUUUAUUAUGUUUUAUGCAUCUUGUUUACUUAGAACGGCGGUAGUAAAUAAGAUGAUCCCUUAUAAUAAUUUCAAGAAAGUGUUCCCCCUAACUGUGCACCAUUGCUAAAGUUCGUCGUUUCGAAGCACCACAUGAUGAUCGGGUGUGAUAGAUCCUUACGUUCACAUACAACGGGUGUAAGACAGUUUUACACAUGCAUAAACACUUAGGGUUAACUUGACGAGCCUAGCAUGUACAGACAUGGCCUCGAAACACAAGAGACCGAAAGGUCGAACAUGAGUCGUAUGGAAGAUACGAUCAACAUGGAGAUGUUCACCGAUGAUGACUAGUCCGUCUCACGUGAUGAUCGGACAUGGCCUAGUCGACUCGGAUCGUGCAACACUUAUAUGACUAGAGGGAUGUCAAAUAUGAGUGGGAGUUCAUUAAAUAAUUUGAUUAGAUGAACUUAAUUAUCAUGAACUUAGUCUAAAAUAUUUGCAAAAUAUGUCUUGUAGAUCAAAUGGCCAACGCUCAUGUCAACAAGAACUUCAACGCGUUCCUAGAGAAAACCAAGCUGAAAGAUGAUGGCAACAACUAUUCGGACUGGGUCCGGAACCUGAGGAUCAUCCUCAUAGCAGCCAAGAAAGCAUAUGUCCUAGAAGGACCGCUAGGUGAAGCACCCAUCCCAGAGAACCAAGACGUUAUGAACACCUGGCAGUCACGUGCUGAUGAUUACUCCCUCGUUCAGUGCGGCAUGCUUUACAGCUUAGAACCGGGGCUCCAAAAGCGUUUUGAGCAACACGGAGCAUAUGAGAUGUUCGAGGAGCUGAAAAUGGUUUUUCAAGCUCAUGCCCGGGUCGAGAGAUAUGAAGUCUCCGACAAGUUCUAUAGUUGUAAGAUGGAGGAAAACAGUUCUGUCAGUGAGCACAUACUCAAAAUGUCUGGGUUGCACAACCGCCUGUCCCAGCUGGACAUUAACCUCCCGGACGAGGCGGUCAUUGACAGAAUCCUUCAGUCGCUCCCACCAAGCUACAAGAGCUUUGUGAUGAACUACAAUAUGCAGGGGAUGGUGAAGACCAUUCCUGAAGUAUUUUCAAUGCUGAAGUCAGCAGAUGUUGAAAUCAAGAAAGAACAUCAAGUGUUGAUGGUCAAUAAGACCACUAAGUUCAAGAAGGGCAAGGGUAAGAAGAACUUCAAGAAGGACGGCAAAGAUGUUGCCGCGCCCGGUAAGCCAGUUGCCGGGAAGAAGUCAAAGAAUGGACCCAAGCCUGAGACUAAGUGCUUUUAUUGCAAAGGGAAGGGUCACUGGAAGCGAAACUGCCCCAAAUACUUAGCGGACAAGAAGGCCGGCAACACUAAAGGUAUAUGUGAUAUACAUGUAAUUGAUGUGUACCUUACCAGUACUCGUAGUAACUCCUGGGUAUUUGAUACCGGUGCCGUUGCUCACAUUUGUAACUCACAGCAGGAGCUGCGGAAUAAGCAGAGACUGGCGAAGGACGAGGUGACAAUGCGCAUUGGGAAUGGUUCCAAGGUCGAUGUGAUCGCCGUCGGCACGCUACCUCUACAUUUACCCACGGGAUUAGUUAUGAACCUCAAUAAUUGUUAUUUAGUGCCAAGUUUGAGCAUGAACAUUGUAUCUGGAUCUCGUUUAAUACGAGAUGGCUACUCAUUUAAAUCUGAGAAUAAUGGUUGUUCUAUUUAUAUGAGAGAUAUGUUUUAUGGUCAUGCCCCGAUGGUCAAUUGUUUAUUCUUAAUGAAUCUCGAACGUAAUGUUACACAUAUUCAUAGUGUGAAUACCAAAAGAUGUAAAGUUGAUAAUGAUAGUCCCACAUACUUGUGGCACUACCGCCUUGGUCACAUUGGUGUCAAGCGCAUGAAGAAGCUUCAUACUGAUGGACUUUUAGAGUCUCUCGAUUAUGAAUCAUUUGACACAUGCGAACCAUGCCUCAUGGGCAAAAUGACCAAGACUCCGUUCUCCGGAACGAUGGAGCGAGCAACCAACUUAUUGGAAAUCAUACAUACUGAUGUGUGUGGUUCAAUGAGCGUUGAGGCUCGCGGAGGAUAUCGUUAUGUUCUCACUCUCACGGAUGACUUAAGUAGAUAUGGGUAUGUCUACUUGAUGAAACACAAGUCUGAGACCUUUGAAAAGUUCAUGGAAUUUCAGAAUGAAGUAGAGAAUCAAUGUGACCGAAAGAUAAAAUUCUUAUGAUCAGAUCGUGGAGGAGAAUAUUUAAGUCACGAAUUUGGUACACACUUAAGAAAAUGUGGAAUCGUUUCACAACUCACGCCGCCUGGAACACCUCAGCAUAACGGUGUGUCCGAACAUGGUAAUCGCACUCUAUUGGAUAUGGUGCGAUCUAUGAUGUCUCUUACCAAUUUACCGCUAUCAUUUUGGGGAUACGCUCUAGAGACAGCUACAUUCACUUUAAAUAGGGCACCAUCUAAAUCCGUUGAGACGACACCGUAUGAAUUAUGGUUUGGGAAGAAACCUAAGCUGUCGUUUCUAAAAGUUUGGGGAUGCGAUGCUUAUGUCAAGAAACUUCAACCUGAAAAGCUCGAACCCAAGUCGGAAAAAUGUGUCUUCAUAGGAUACCCUAAGGAAACCAUUGGGUAUACCUUGUACCUUAGAUCCGAAGGCAAGAUCUUUGUUGCCAAGAACAGAUCCUUUCUAGAAAAAGAGUUUCUCUCGAAAGGAGUAAGUGGGAGGAAAGUAGAACUCGAUGAAGUACUACCUCUUGAACCGGAAAGUAGUGCAGCUCAGGAAAAUGUUCCUGUGGUCCCUACACUGACUGGAGAGGAAAUUAAUAAUGAUGAUCAAGGUACUUCGGAUCAAGUUGCUACUGAACUUCAUAGGUCCACAAGGACACGUUCCACACCAGAGUGGUAUGGCAACACUGUCCUGGAGAUCAUGUUGUUAGACAACGGUGAACCUUCGAACUAUGAAGAAGCGAUGGCAGGCCCAGAUUCCAACAAAUGGCUAGAAGCCAUGCAAUCCGAGAUAGAAUCCAUGUAUGAAAAGAAAGUAUGGACUUUGACUGACUUGCCCGAUGAUCGGCGAGCGAUAGAAAACAAAUGGAUCUUUAAGAAGAAGACGGACGCAUAUGGUAAUGUCACCAUCUAUAAAGCUUGACUUGUCGCUAAGGGUUAUCGGCAAGUUCAAGGGGUUGACUACGAUGAGACUUUCUCUCCCGUAGCGAAGCUUAAGUCCGUCCGAAUCAUGUUAGCAAUUGCCGCAUACUAUGAUUAUGAGAUAUGGCAGAUGGACGUCAAAACGGCAUUCCUUAACGGUUAUCUUAAGGAAGAGCUGUAUAUGAUGCAGCCGGAAGGUUUUGUCGAUCCUAAGAAUGCUAACAAAGUAUGCAAGCUCUAGCGAUCCAUUUAUGGGCUAGUGCAAGCAUCUCGGAGUUGGAACAUUCGCUUUGAUGAGAUGAUCAAAGCGUUUGGGUUUAUGCAGACUUAUGGAGAAGCCUGCGUUUACAAGAAAGUGAGUGGGAGCUCUGUAGCAUUUCUCAUAUUAUAUGUAGAUGACAUACUUUUGAUGGGAAAUGAUAUAGAAUUCUUGGACAGCAUUAAGGCCUACUUGAAUAAGUGUUUUUCAAUGAAGGACCUUGGAGAAGCUGCUUACAUAUUAGGCAUCAAGAUCUAUAGGGAUAGACCGAGAAGCCUCAUAGGUCUUUCACAAAGCACAUACCUUGAUAAGAUUUUGAAGAAGUUCAAAAUGGAUCAGUCCAAGAAAGGGUUCUUGCCUGUAUUGCAAGGUGUGAGAUUGAGCUCGACUCAAUGCCCGACCACGGCAAAAGAUAAAGAAGAGAUGAGUGUCAUCCCCUAUGCCUCAGCCAUAGGAUCUAUUAUGUAUGUCAUGCUGUGUACCAGACCAGAUGUAAACCUUGCCGUAAGUUUGGUAGGUAGGUACCAAAGUAAUCCCGGCAAGGAACACUGGACAGCAGUCAAGAAUAUCCUAAAGUACCUGAAAAGGACAAAGGAUAUGUUUCUCGUUUAUGGAGGUGACGAAGAGCUCGUCGUAAAGGGUUACGUCGACGCUAGCUUCGACACAGAUCUGGAUGACUCUAAGUCACAAACCGGAUACAUGUAUAUGUUGAAUCAUGGAGCAGUGAGCUGGUGCAGUUGCAAGCAGAGCGUCGUGGCGGGAUCUACAUGUGAAGCGGAGUACAUGGCAGCCUCGGAGGCAGCGCAUGAAGCAAUAUGGAUGAAGGAGUUCAUCACCGACCUAGGAGUCAUACCCAAUGCGUUGGGGCCAAUCACUCUCUUCUGUGACAACACUGGAGCUAUUGCCCUUGCCAAGGAGCCCAGGUUUCACAAGAAGACCAGGCACACCAAGCGUCGUUUCAACUCCAUUCGUGAAAAUGUUCAAGAUGGAGACACAGAUAUUUGCAAAGUACAUAUGGAUCUGAAUGUCACAGAUCCGUUGACUAAACCUCUUCGCGAGCAAAACAUGAUCAACACCAAAACUCUAUGGGUGUUCAAUUCAUCACAAUGUUACUAGAUUAUUGACUCUAGUGCAAGUGGGAGACUAUUGGAAAUAUGCCCUAGAGGCAAUAAUAAAAGGAUUAUUAUUAUAUUUCUUUGUUCAUGAUAGUUGUCUUUUAUUCAUGCUAUAAUUGUAUUAUCCGGAAAUCGUAAUACACGUGUGAAUACUUAGACCACAACAUGUCCCUAGUGAGCCUCUAGUUGACUAGCUCGUUGAUCACCAGAUAGCCAUGGUUUCCUGACUAUGGACAUUGGAUGUCGUUGAUAACGGGAUCACAUCAUUAGGAGAAUGAUGUGAUGGACAAGACCCAAUCCUAAGCAUAGCACAAGAUCGUGUAGUUCGUUUUGCUAGAGCUUUUCCAAUGUCAAGUAUCUCUUCCUUAGACCAUGAGAUCAUGUAACUCCCGGAUACGGUAGAAGUUCUUUGGGUGUACCAAAUGUCACAACGUAACUGGGUGACUAUAAAGGUGCACUACAGGUAUCUCCGAAAGUGUUUGUUGGGUUGACAUGGAUCGAGACUGGGAUUUGUCACUCCGUAUUACGGAGAGGUAUCAAUGGGCCCACUCGGUAGUGCAUCAUUAUAAUGAGAUCAAAGUGACCAAGUGUCUGGUCACGGGAUCAUGCAUUACGGUACGAGUAAAGUGACUUGCCGGCAACGAGAUUGAAUGAGGUAUUGGGAUACCGACGAUCGAAUCUCAGGCAAGUAACAUACCGUCUGACAAAGGGAAUAGUAUACGGGGUUGCUUGAAUCCUUGACAUCGUGGUUCAUCCGAUGAGAUCAUCGAGGAGUAUGUGGGAGCCAACAUGGGUAUCCAGAUCCCACUGUUGGUUAUUGACCGGAGAGCCGUCUCGGUCAUGUCUACAUGUCUCCCGAACCCGUAGGGUCUACACACUUAAGGUUCAGUGAUGCUAGGGUUGUAUGAAUAUGAGUAUGCAGCAAACCGAAUGUUGUUCGGAGUCCCGGAUGAGAUCCCGGACGUCACGAGGAGUUCCGGAAUGGUCCAGAGGUAAAGAAUUAUAUAUAGGAAGUGCUGUUUCGGCCAUCGGGAAAGUGUCGGGGUCACCCGGUAUUGUACCGGGACCACCGGAAGGGUCCCCGGGGUCCACCGGGUGGGGCCACCUAUCCCGAAGGGCCCCGUGGGCUGAAGUGGGAGGGGAACCAGCCCCUAGUGGGCUGGUGCGCCCCCCUUGGGCCCCCCUGCGCCUAGGGUUGGAAACCCUAGGGUGGGGGGGCACACCACUUGCCUUGGGGGGCACUCCACCCCCCUGGCCGCCGCCCCCUUGGGAGAUUCCCAUCUCCAGGGCUGGCGCCCCCCAGGGGGCCUAUAUAAAGGAGGGGGGAAGGGAGGUCAGCCACACCCUGAGUCUUGGCGCCUCCCUCCCCCUGCUACACCUCUUCCUCCUCGCGCAGUUGCUUGGCGAAGCCCUACCGGAGUCCUGCUGCAUCCACCACCACGCCGUCGUGCUGCUGGAUCUUCAUCAACCUCUCCUUCCCCCUUGCUGGAUCAAGACGGAGGAGACGUCACGCUGACCGUACGUGUGUUGAACACGGAGGUGCCGUCCGUUCGGCGCUAGGAUCUCCGGUGAUAGGAUCACGACGAGAACGACUACCUCAACCCCGUUCUCUUGAACGCUUCCGCACGCGAUCUACAAGUGGUAUGUAGAUGCAUCUCUCUCUCUCUCAUUGCUAGAUGAACUCAUAGAUGGAUCUUGGUGAACGUAGGAAUUUUUUUAUUUUAUGCAACGUUCCCCAACAGUUUUGUGUUGUGAAGUUUUCAAGUUUUGGGUAAAGAUUUGAUGGAUUUUGGAAUAAGGAGUGGCAAGAGCCUAAGCUUGGGGAUUUUCAAGGCACCCCAAGGUAAAAUCCAAGGACAACCAAAAGCCUAAGCUUGGGGAUGCCCCGGAAGGCAUCCCCUCUUUCGUCUUCGCCUAUCGGUAACUUUACUUGAGGCUAUAUUUUUAUUCACCACAUGACAUGUGUUUUGCUUGGAGCGUCUUGUAGGAUUUGAGUCUUUGCUUUUUAGUUUACCAUAAUCAUCCUUGCUGUACACACGUUUUGGGAGAUACAUGCAUGAAUCGGAAUUUAUUGGAAUACUCUAUGUGCUUCACUUAUAUCUUUUGAGCUAGACAAUAUUGCUCUAGUGCUUCACUUAUAUCUUUUUAGAGCACGGUGGUGGUUUUAUUUUAUAAAAAAUGUUGAUAUCUCAUGCUUCACCUAUAUUAUUUUGAGAGUCUUUUAUAAAAGCAUGGUAAUUUGCUUUGGUUAUAAAAUUAGUCCUAAUAUGAUGGGCAUCCAAGAUGGGUAUAAUAAAAACUUUCAUAUAAAGUGCGUUGAAUACUAUGAGAAGUUUGAUUCUUUAUGAUUGUUUUGAGAUAUGAAGAUGGUGAUAUUAGAGUCAUGCUAGUAGAGUAGUUGUGAAUUUGAGAGAUACUUGUGUUAAAGUUUGUGAUUCCCGUAGCAUGCACAUAUGGUGAACCGUUAUGUGAUGAAGUUGGAGCAUGAUUUAUUUAUUGAUUGUCUUCCUUAUGAGUGGCGGUCGGGGACGAGCGAUGGUAUUUUCCUACCAAUCUAUCCCCCUAGGAGCAUGCGUGUAGUACUUCGUUUUGAUAACUAAUAUAUUUUUGCAAUAAGUAUGUGAGUUCUUUAUGACUAAUGUUGAGUCCAUGGAUUAUAUGCACUCUCAUUCUUCCACCAUUUCUAGCCUCUCUAGUACCGCACAACUUUUGCCGGUACCAUACACCCACCAUAUACCUUCCUCAAAACAGCCACCAUACCUACCUAUUAUGGCAUUUCCAUAGCCAUUCCAAGAUAUAUUGCCAUGCAACUUUCCUUCCAUUUAUUAUGACACGCUCCAUCAUUGUCAUAUUGCCUUGCAUGAUCAUGUAGUUGACAUCGUAUUUGUGGCAAAGCCACCGUUCAUAAUUUUUCAUACAUGUCACUCUUGAAUCAUUGCACAUCCUGAUACACCGCCGAAGGCAUUCACAUAGAAUCAUAUUUUGUUCUAAGUAUUGAGUUGUAAUUCUUGAGUUGUAAGUAAAUAAAAGUGUGAUGAUCUUCAUUAGAGCAUUGUCCCGUGUGAGGAAAGGAUGAUGGAGACUAUGAUUCCCCCACAAGUCGAGAUGAGACUCCGGACUAAAAAAACAGGCCAUAAAAAGAUGAAGAGAAAAUGCCCAAGUAAUAAAUAAAAAAAUGGGAGAAAAAGAGAGAAGGGGCAAUGCAACUAUCCUUUUCCACACUUCUGCUUCAAAGUAGCACCAUGAUUUUCAUGACAGAGAGUCUCCUAUGUUGUCACUUUCAUAUACUAGUGGGAAUUUUCAUUAUAGAACUUGACUUGUAUAUUCCAAUGAUGGGCUUCCUCAAAGUGCCCUAGGUCUUUGUGAGCAAGCAAGUUGGAUGCACACCCAUUUAGUUCUUGUUGAGCUUUCAUAUACUUAUAGCUCUAGUGCAUCCAUUGCAUGCCAAUCCCUACUCACUCACACUGAUAUAUAUUGAUGGGCAUCUCCAUAGCCCGUUGAUGCGCCCAGGUGAUGAGACUAUCUUCUUCUUUUUAUCUUCUCCACAACCACCAUUCUAUUCCACCUAUAGUUGUAACAUCCCAAAUUUUCAAUUUGGAAUGUUAUACACUAGAUCAUCAAUGCAUAUAAUGUUUUAUUGCUUUUGGCCUGAUCCUAGAAAUUCUAUGCAACUCAAGGACCCUCAGAGAGAGUUGGGGAUUUCGUUAUUUUCAUAUUUCAGUUUUCUCGAAUUUUGAAAAUAGGAUCAUUUGAUUUUAAUUAUUUUAUCUUCAAUUAUUUCGAUUAUAAAAAUAUGAGAGAGGGAAUAAAAUGGCUUUCCCAAAAUAAAGAAACAUUGAGCAUUUAAUAAAAAAACAGAUAAGUUUUAUUUUGGAGUUUUUGCUAUUUUAUUUGAAUUUAGGAAAAAUUGCACGUUUUCAAAACUGCAUGUUAGGGCCAAGAAAAUGUUCAUCUUGUUCUAAAUUUUUUAUUUAGACGGUGAAAAUUUAUUUUGGCAUUUUUAGAUUUUUAGUUAUUUUUCUAGGAUUUUUCUUAGUUUGGUGGAAUUAUUUAAAAAACAAAUCCCCGCGCCCGACUGGGCCGAAGGCCCAGCCGAGCCAGGCCGGUCAGCCCCGCGCCGCCGCCUCCGCGCCGCGCGUCGCCGCCGCCGACCCAGACUAGGAGUCCGGGACAGACUCCUCUCCCCGCCGCCUUGCCCCCUCCCCCAAGCNNNNNNNNNNNNNNNNNNNNNNNNNNNNNNNNNNNNNNNNNNNNNNNNNNNNNNNNNNNNNNNNNNNNNNNNNNNNNNNNNNNNNNNNNNNNNNNNNNNNNNNNNNNNNNNNNNNNNNNNNNNNNNNNNNNNNNNNNNNNNNNNNNNNNNNNNNNNNNNNNNNNNNNNNNNNNNNNNNNNNNNNNNNNNNNNNNNNNNNNNNNNNNNNNNNNNNNNNNNNNNNNNNNNNNNNNNNNNNNNNNNNNNNNNNNNNNNNNNNNNNNNNNNNNNNNNNNNNNNNNNNNNNNNNNNNNNNNNNNNNNNNNNNNNNNNNNNNNNNNNNNNNNNNNNNNNNNNNNNNNNNNNNNNNNNNNNNNNNNNNNNNNNNNNNNNNNNNNNNNNNNNNNNNNNNNNNNNNNNNNNNNNNNNNNNNNNNNNNNNNNNNNNNNNNNNNNNNNNNNNNNNNNNNNNNNNNNNNNNNNNNNNNNNNNNNNNNNNNNNNNNNNNNNNNNNNNNNNNNNNNNNNNNNNNAGCAGCCGCCGCCACCGCCGCCUCCUGCCACAGCCCCGCCACCCCUUGCCGUCCCGCCGUCCCGCCGGAGCCGAGCGGAGGUAUUAACCGCCGCCGCCGGGGUCCGUUUUUUAAAACCCGAUCCGGUUUUUCUUUAGAAACCCUAGAUUCGUUUUUUAAUAGAUCGGUUUUAUUUUUUUGGUUAUUUUUAUUUAGCGAGCGUUCGCCCGUUCGUUCGUUUUAACAAACAAAUUCUCCUUUUAGUUUCAGUUAACGAACGUUCGUUCGUUAAUCUGUUCGUCAGCUUUUCUUUUUCUCGGAUUUUCCGCGGUUAUUUUUGAUCGCGAUUUCUAAUCCGAUUUUCUUUUUAGUUUAUCUUUUUGCUCAUUUAUCGGAAUCAGGCGAUUCAAGCGCCUAGAGUUUCGUCUCGAAACUCUCUUUCCGUUUAACCAACUCAAACAAGUUUUUGCUACUGUAAAAUUUGACUUAGAUCCAGAUUAGUAAACGAAGAUCGUUUCUUUAGCCGUUUGACUUUCGUUGCUUCGUUCGAUUUGAUUCUUUUUGCAAACCGGAGUUCUUAAGUUGAAUUUCUGGUUAGAUCUCUUAUUUGAGUUUUACCCGUGCAUUAGAUGAGUGCUUAUUGUAUGCUUGUUUGUUUGCGAUAGAGUAUCCAGAGUGCGCCACUUGCUACUUCGAAUCUCUAGGUUUUGCGGAUCAUCAGCAAGGCAAGUAACACUUUGAUCAUACCCCUUUACUACCUAGUUUUAUUGCAUUAGAUCAACCCUCAAACAAUUGCAUGAUUAGGAUCUGAUUAAAUUGUGGGUUUUGGGAAGUAGAUGAGGUAGUACCUAUAACCUGUUUUAUUAUCAAACCCCUGGGAGUUACUCUACGUUUGCUUAUUAUGCCAUGCUAUGCUAGUAGACGUGGAUUGGGUGAGUGUAUCCAUGACAGAUGUGAUAUUGUUAAAUUAAUGGUUUAUUUAAGGUGGCAACUUAAACACACAUCUGGGUGGAUUGAGGCACCUGGGUAUUCCAGCGAUUGCCUGUUUUCUUUAUGGACCGCCACCCAAGCUCAAAGGGAUCAUGAGAUUAUUCAUGCUAGAAACUUCCGUGUGCAGCCACAAGCUACUAUGGGCUCUAGCAUAGUUGACUAAGUCGUGCGAACUCUUACAGUGGUAGACUAGCAGAUGUAGGGGAUGUAGGUUGGUACGGUCUACCUGAUCGUAAGGUGCUAGCGCUUCUGAAAGACUAUGUCUCAGUCAUCCGUUUCUCAAACAUCAUGUAGUGCGUGAAUCCCAAACGGAGGAGAUCAAGUCUUGUGGGGAAAAGUGCGCAAACCUCUGCAGAGUGUAUAAACUAAUCAUGGUUAGCCGUGUCCCCGGUUAUGGACAUCUUGAGUAUCUAGUACUUGGAUUAUCAUAUGAAUCUCAUCAUGUUACUUUAAUUAAUAUUGUUGGGUUUUAAUGAUGAUGCUUAAUUGGGAUUGAGAAUGCUGUCAACCAUUCUCAAUGUUUAACAACCAUCAUGAUAGUUAAAUAAAAUUUAUUCCUUUGCAGUAGGGAAAAAUUGGCUUUAUGCAAAAUUGUAACCAUAGAGCUUUCCACUAGCCAUAUUAUGCAUGUAGUAUAUCAUAUUUCUGUUCAUUACUCUCUAUGUGUUACAUUGCCAGCAUAUUCCAUGUGCUAACCCGUUUUCGUGCUGCAACGUUCAUGUUGUAGACUUUUCAGACGACGAGUAAGAUGCCUUAGGAUCGUGGUUCUAUACUCAGUGAUGCUGUUGGAGUUGAUGGACUCACUUAUCUUCCAAGCCUUCCGCUGUUAUUGUUAUUAGAUGGCCUUAAGCCAUAUUUAUUGUAAUAAGUUCUCUUUUGAGACAUUCGAUGUAACAAGUGUGUGAUUGCUACUCUGUUAUAAAUCCUCCAAGUACUGUGCAUGUCAGCAUUACUGAUCCAGUGAUGACACUGAAGCACAGAGAUCAGACUGUUUGAGGUCUGGUCGCUACAAUAGUGCUAUGUCCAUGGCUCACGCUCAUGUAUUGCGUGAAGAUUGAAAAAGUUUGAGAACACUAAAAGUAUGAAACAAUUGCUUGGCUUGUCAUCGGGGUUGCGCAUGAUUAAAUACUUGUGUGAUGAAGAUAGAGCAUAACCAGACUAUAUGAUUUUGUAGGGAUAGCUUUCUUUGGCCAUGUUAUUUUGAAAAGACAUGAUUGCUUUGUUAGUAUACUUGAAGUAUUAUUAUUUUUAUGUCCAUAUUAAACUUUUGUCUUAAAUCUUUCGGAUCUGAACAUUCAUGCCACAAUAAAGAAAAUUAUAUUGAUAAAUAUGUUAGGUAGCAUUCCACAUCAAAAAUUCUGUUUUUAUCAUUUACUACUCGAGGACGAGCAGGAAUUACGCUUGGGGAUGCUUGAUACGUGUCCAAUGUAUCUAUAAAUUUUGAUUGUUCCAUGCUAUUAUAUUAUCUAUUUUGGAUGUUUAAUGGGCUUUAAUAUGCUCUUUUAUAUUAAUUUUGGGACUAAUCUAUUAACCGGAGGCCCAAUGCCAGUUUUUUUCCUAUUUUAGAGUUUUACAGAAAAGGAAUACCAAACAGAGUCCAAACGGAAUUAAAUUCGCGAUGAUCUUUCUUAGACCAAAAGCAAACCAGAAGACUUGGAGUUGAAGUCAGAGACGCAACGAGGCGUCCACGAGGCAGGAGGGCGCGCCUAGGGGGAUAUCCGCGCCCCCACCCUCAUGGGCCCCUCGUAGCUCCACCGACCUAGUUCUUUAGCCUAUAUAUACUCUCAUACCCUAAAAACAUCAGAGGGAGCCACAAAACCACUUUUCCACCGCAACAACCUUAUGUACCCAUGAGAUCCCAUCUUGGGGCCUUUUCCGGUGAUCUGCCAGAGGGGGAAUCGAUCAUGGAGGGCUUCUACAUCAACACCAUUGCCUCUACGAUGAAGCGUGAGUAGUUUACCAUAGACCUUCUGGUCCAUAGUUAUUAGCUAGAUGGCUUCUUCUCUCUCUUUGAUUCUUUAUACAAAGUUCUCCUCGAUGUUCUUGGAGAUCUAUUCGAUGUAAUACUCUUUUGCGGUGUGUUUGCCGAGAUCCGAUGAAUUGUGGAUUUAUGAUCAAUAUUAUCUAUGAAUAUUAUUUGGUUCUUCACUGAAUUCUUAUAUGCAUGAUUUGAUAUCUUUGCAAGUCUCUUCGAAUUAUCGGUUUAGUUUGGCCUACUAGAUUGAUAUUUCUUACCAUGCGAGAAGUGCUUAGCUUUGGGUUCAAUCUUGCAUUGUCCUUUCCCAGUGAGAGUAGGAGCAACAAGGCACAUAUUGUAUUGUUGCCAUUGAGGAUUAAAAGAUGGGGUUUAUAUUAUAUUGCUUGAGUUUAUCCCUCUACAUCAUGUCAUCUUACUUAAUGCGUUACUCCGUUCUUAUGAACUUAAUACUCUAGAUGCAUGCUGGAUAGCGGUCGAUGUGUGGAGUAAUAGUAGUAGAUGCAGGCAGGAGUCGGUCUACUUGACACAAACGUGAUGCCUAUGUUCAUGAUCAUUGCCUUAGAUGUCAUCAUAAUUAUGGGCUUUUCUAUCAAUUGCUCGGCAGUAAUUUGUUCACCCACCGUAAUACAUGCUAUCUUGAGAGAAGACACUAGUGAAACCUAUGCCCCUGGGUCUCUUUUCCAUUAUAUUAAAGUCUCUUUUCCAUAUUUUUGAAUCUCGUUUACUAUUUUGCAAUCUUUAGUUUCCAAUCUAUACAUCAAAAAUACAAAAAAUAUUUACUUUAUUAUAUCUAUUAGAUCUCACUUUUGUGAGUGGCCGUGCAGGGAUUGACAACCCCUUUAUCGUGUUGGUUACAAGUUCUUGAUUGUUUGUGCAGGUAUUUGGUGACUUGUGCGUCUUCUCAUACUGGAUUGAUACCUUGAUUCUCAAAACUGAGGGAAAUACUUACACUACUUUGUUGCAUCACCCUUUCCUCUUCAAGGGGGAAAACCAACACAAGCUCAAGAGGUAGCACCCAACACGUAAGAGGGGUUGUUAAUCCCUCCUCGGUAUUGAGAUAGAUAAUAUGGUAUGAAAUUGGAUAAAUAGAUCUAGCAGAAACAUAAAAUAAAUUAAAUAAAGAAAAGUACAGCAAGGUAUUUUGGUUUUUUUUGGAGUAAUAGAUCUGAAAACAAUAUGUUAAAACAUAGACGCGGGGGCCAUAGAUUUCACUGGUGGCUUCUCUCAAGAAAAUAGCGUACGGUGGGUAAAUAAAUUACUGUUGGGUAAUUGAUAGAAGAGAAAAAAAUUAUGAUGAUAUCCAAGUCAACGAUCAUGUAUAUAGGCAUCACGUUCAAGAUUAGUAGACCGACUCCUGCCUGCAUCUACUACUAUUACUCCACACAUCGACCGCUAUCCAGCAUGCAUCUAUUGUAUUAAGUUCAGAAACGGAAUAAAGCAAUAAGAACGAUGACAUGAUGUAGACAAGAUCUAUACAUGUAGGAAUAGACCCCGUCAGUUUAUCCUUAAUAGCAACGGUACAUGCGUGCCUCGCCACCCCUUCUGUCACUGGGUGAGGACACCGCAAGAUCGAACCCAUCAGAAAGCACCUCUUCCCAUUGCAAGAAAAAUCAAUCUUGUUGGCCAAACCAAACCAAAGUUUCAGAGAAGAAAUACGAGGCUAUAAAAAUCAUGCAUAUAAGAGAUCAAAGAAGACUCAAAUAAUAUUUCAUAGAUAGAACUCAUCAUAAACUCGCAAUUCAUUGGAUCCCAACAGACACACCGUAAAAAGUCAUUUCAUCAAAUAGGUGAACAUCGAGGAGAACAUUGUAUUGAGAAUCAAAAAGAGAGAAGAAGCCAUCUAGCUACUGCCUAUGGACCCAUAGGUCUGUGGUAAACUACUCACGCAUCAUCGGAGGAGCACGAAUGAGGAUGAUGAACCCCUUCAUGAUCAUGUUCCCCUCUAGCAAGGUGCCAGAAUAGGGAUCUACAUUGGAUCUAGUUGUUCUGGAACUUGCGGCAGCUGGAAUUAUGUUUUGUCAACUCCUCUAGGGUUUCUGGAAUAUUUGGGUAUUUAUAGAGCUAAGGGGCGGUGGAAAGGACUCCCAUGGGCCCCACUAGCCACCAGGGCGUGCCAAUGGCCCGUGGCGCGCCCUGGUGUCUUGUGGGCCCCAUGGGCCUCCCCUCGGGCACUUCCUUGGCUCCCAAGUUGUCUUCUGGGCAGAAAAAGUCUCCAAAAAGUUUUGCUGCGUUUGGACUCUGUUUGCUAUGGAUAUUAAGCAAAGUGAAAAACAAGCAAAAAACAACAAUUGGGCACUAUGUCAACAGGUUAGUCCCAAAAAAUGAUAUAAAGUUGCUAUAAACUGAAUAUAAAACAUCCAAGAAUGAUAAUAUAACAAAACGGAACAAUAAAAAAUUAUAGAUAUGUUGGAGCGUAUCAGUUACCCGUAGCACAAGACAUGAAUUGAACUAAUGGCAACAUCUAACAUUUAUUUUUUAUUUCAGCAAAAAACAUUUAGUCAUGUGGAGGCACUACGUUUAUGAAAAUUGUUAUGAGCUACAGACGGAACAUAAAAGUCUCAAAUAUAUCUUCAGGCAAAAUGAGUUGAAUAUGAGGCAAAGAAGAUGGUUAGAACUCAUCAAGGAUUAUGAACUUGGUGUUAAGUACCACGCAGGAAAGGCUAUUGCGAUUGCAAACACCCUUAGCCGAAAAAGCUCAUGCAAUCAUUUUAGGAUUGCAACCUAUGAUAGUCAUACGAUAAAUGUACUGAAAAGGAUGGGAAUUAAACUUGUACGUAAACCUGUUGAGAAAAUCCUAGCCACAUUAAUAAUCAAGCUCAAUCUGUUGUACUAAAUCAAGGAAAAUCAUAUCAAAGAUGAGUUUAUUUGUGAGGAAAAGCGGAUAAUGCAAGAUGGUCAACUAUCAGAAUUCAGAAUAGCGGAAUACAUGACACUUUGGUAUAAAACCCGAAUAUGUGUGCCAAAUAUCCUUGAUAUUAAGCAAAUAAUACUCAAGGAGGCACACAACAUCCCAUACACCAUACACCUAGGUAUCACAAAAAUGUACAGUGAUAUCAACAUUACAUUUUGGUGGAGAAAUAUGAAAAGAUAAAUUGCUUAGUAUGUUGAUGAGUAUGACACUUGUAAAAGGGUCAAGGUAGAGCACCAGCGCCCACUAGGAUUAUCAAAACCUCUCCAAAUUCCGCAAUGGAUAUGGGAGGAGAUCCACAUGGACUUUAUCACCGGACUGCCCAAGACGAGAAAUCGAGAGGAAAUCUUAUGGGUUAUAGUUGACCGACUCACUAAAUCUUCUCAUUUUACCCCUUUAGCCCUGGGAAUUUCUAGGAAAAAACCGGCUGAGCAAUAUAUCCACAGGAUAGUAGCUCUACAUGGAACACCUUCCAAUACGGUGUCAGACCAUGGAUCUAUGUUUUCUUCCAAGUUCUGGAAAAAAAUAGAAGAAGCACUAGGAACAAAACUGGAUUUUAGUACCGCGUACCACCACCAAACUAGCAGUCAAGUUGAGAGGGUGAAUCAAUUCGUAGAGGACAUGCUAAGGGCUUGCAUGCUAGAUUUUGGUGACUUGUGGAGCAAGCGCUUGCCCUUAGCUGAGUUCGGAUAUAAAAAUAGUUAUCAAGGUAGUAUUAGUAUGUCCCCAUUUGAGGCCUUAUACAGCCGAAGAUACCGAACCCCAAUAUGUUGGGAGGAAACCGGAGAAAAGAAACUCUUAGCACCCGACUUGGUCUAAGAAACCAAGGAAAAAGUUUGCAUAAUUAAAGAGCGGCUAAAAACGACGCAUAGUCGGCAAAAGACUUAUGUAGAUAAGAGAGGACGCGACAUACAAUAUCAACUCGGUGACUUUGUAGAUAAGAGAGGACGCGACAUACAAUAUCAAGUCUUAUGUAGAUAAGAGAGGACGCGACAUACAAUAUCAAGUCUCACCAAAGGGGUCAAGUGCUUUGGAGUACAAGGAAAAUUAAGUCUGCGGUAUAUUGGUCCCUAUCGGAUUUUAAAAAGAAGAGGGGCACUGGCGAACAAAUUAGAAUUGUUAGUGCACCUACAAGGGGUUCAUGAUGUAUUUCAUGUUUCCCAAUUAUGCAUGCAAGAGUGUAAAGCCAUCAUUGGAAAGAGUUUAGGAGGAAGAAUUAACCCUUCAAAAAGACAUAACCUAUGAGGAGCAUCCUAGUCUGAUUCUCAACACCGAAGGAAAGAAAACAAGGGAGUAAAAUGAUAAAUAUUUCAAGGUGCAAUGGGGAAAGCGUCUGGUACGAGAAGCGACUUAAAAGGAGGAUGACCUCUGAGAAAAAUAUCCUUACUUUCAAGGGGAGCUUAAAUUUCGAGGACAUAAAUUUUCUAAGUGGGGAGGGAUGUAACCCCACCAUUCGCCUUUUCACCUUCUGUCACUUCUAUCCUUCACUACUAUGUUGUUCUUUCGGUUGCAUGUGUUUUGUUAGCCCUCCUUGCUUGAUGUUUUUGCUAUCUUCACCUCUGUUUGAGUCAGACAAUGAGCAUCUGAUAUUUGACUCUAGUUAGUCUAUAAAAAGAAGGAUGAUGAGUGCCAGAAAACACAUAAAUCAGAUGAAGACUAAUAGGUACAUUGUGGUUUAGUGAAGCAUGGGUCGUAAAAAUUUAUGUGGAUGUCUCUUCGUCUCGUACUAGAUCUGCUAAUAGCCAUGUCAUGCGGAGAGUUAAAUCCCAAAUAUUAGUUGGUUGAGGAUGAUUUGCAUGUGUACCUAUUAGGUCCAACUUUUGUGUAUACUAUUUGUCUUAGUGUUCCUUGUCCGUUUGUAGUGAUCAUUGGUUGGCAAAUGGUCAUAAUCUAUUAAGUACUUAGAUCUAAUUAGUAGCACGUCCACACCAUAGAUUGAAUCUUGAUUAAUUACAUGGCCUUGAGAUUAACAAAGAGAAAGAUGACAAUAUGGAUGUAUGGGGAAUAGUGCAUAGGGCGAGAGAUGAAAUGAACAAUAUGGAAAAAUCUACACACCAUGUUCACAUCUAGCAAGCACUUGUUAUGAAAUUUAGAGCACUACAUGGAGAAGGAAGUAGGAUUAGUACUUAUCAGUAGUAUAGCAGUACCGUGGACACGACCGAUGAAUGUUGGUGACUGACCAUGGCGCUAGAGCCAUGCACGCACGUCGGGCAUGACUGCACGCCUCGUGGGUGUGCCUGCGCUGGUAGAGGAUGUAGGCAGGAAGAAUGUUGUUGGUGUUGCUUAUAGUGGCGAGCCCACCGGACCGAAGUCAGACGAUGCUAGGUUUGGAUGGGGCUGAGCUUUCGUGAUGUAACUGUAGGUGCCUUUGGGUCAGUGACAUGUAGGCCCAACAGGCGGCUAGACCACAUGUCUCAGACCCAAAGGCACCUACAGUUACGGUAGUGAAGCAACGUCCGUUUGGAUGACGAGCUCCUCUAUAUAGGGUAUCACAUUAGGACAUAAGUAACUAGCUUUUACUUUCAAAAGCGGAGCAAAUCGUACUGAUCAUAGACCUUGAAUGGGACGGGUUGAAUAGCUGCCUCUGCAUGGGUGAGAAGGUGGCUGUGGCCGGAUAGGUACAAUCACCCUAGGGUGGGACCGCCAGGUAGGUACAAUCACCUGUAGUAAGCCAAAGUGAAAAAGCAUAUGUAGUGUACGGGCUGGCUAAAGGUUCUAGUUCUUUUGUCUAGACAUGUGCAGAGGUAGCGCAUGUAAUACUUGGAUGAAGUGAUGCUAUGGGUAAAGCAGUACACCUUUGAUUAGAAUAAAAUGUGAUAUCACUCACAACUUCCGGGGUUGGAAGUGCGUCAUGUGCGUUUUUCUCUAACACAAGAUGUAAGAUCCCACGUCACUCUGUCACUAGUAAAUUUUAUAAAUAAAAUUUAACUUCAGCAAAAUUGGUUAAGGGGAAAAUAUUUUGCUUGCAAAAUAUUUUUGGCUGACGGCUCAGUGGUCGUAGAUGUGGCCAAUAAACUUUUCCUCUUUAAAAACUCAUACAUCCCCUUUUCGAUGACUUUCAGAGUACAUAUUUUAUACGUGCUCAACUGCUCUUAUGUUGUUCUUCAAAGACAAUGAGUUAAGAGAACUCCGAGGAGAUAGGGAAUGAUACCUACAAUGAGUAUUGUCAUAUUAAUGACUUUGAUUUUGCUAAAGUGGAGUAUGAUCAUGAGGAAGUCGACGGGCAAGUUUAUGAGGAGUAGAUGCCUUCCAUGAUGGAUCUAGAAGUCUCAUACUAAGAGCGGGCAACUUUCUAUUGUCACGGCCGCUUAGAGUUAGUUGACACGUGAAGUGUCAUUGUAAUAAAAUUCCAUCUACUCAUGGUGACAGUUUUGUCAUGUACAUGAUACUGUUCUCUUCAAAUGAUCCUGGCUCAAUUCUGAAGUGAUGGUUAUCGUUAAUCCUGCCUCUAUCGGACGUCCAUAGAUUUGUAUGCCUGGGUUUGCUAGAUGAAAGUACGUAUGGAUGUUGGUCACCUUUCGUUUACAUCGGCCCAAACUCUAAAGUGUAGAGCCUGACUUCGAGGGGAUUGACUAAUCACCUGUUGGGUAACGUUGCAUGGAAAACAAAAAAAUUCUACGUACACGCAAGAUCUAUCAAUGGAGAUGCAUAGCUACGAGAGGGGCAGAGCAUCUUCAUACCCUUGAAGAUUGCUAAGCGGAAUCAUGAUGGCGUGGUGACAGUGGUGGUGAAGAACAAUCUCUCCAGCGCUUCGCCAAGCACUACCGAAACUAUCAUGGAAAUAUCACGUCAGAUGUCCUCGUACAAGGACUUAGUCGUGGAGCCAUCGCGACGGGUUAGCUUAAGGGGUUAAACCGGACAAAGGACACGAGGGUUUUUAUACUAGUUCGGCCCCUUCGAUGAAGGUAAAGGCCUACGUCUAGUUGUGAUGGGAUUAUUGGGGUCUCGAUAACCAGGGAGCUAAACACGCUAUGCCUGGCUUUCGAGUUGUUGUUUCUUGUCAAAGCACACUGCUAAGGAGGAAUUUGCACCUAUGGGCAAGGGAAAAGGGAAGACAGAUUUGUCCAGCUUUGUUAACCUUAGCACCGAGGAGCUUCAUUCCGGAUUCUUAAACCGCCUCUUCACAAGCCGGGAUUAUGUGGCCGGUUUAGUGAACUUAAUGAAAGAGCGCUAUGAGGUAAUCUUCAAAACACUUUAAAUUUGCUGGCAAUGUAUAUUCACUCCAUAGUAGCCCCCAAGGGUCGGUUUAUCUCUUGUAGACAAACCGGGUCUUCAAAUAUUAAGAAUACUUCAACUGAGUAGCCCCGAAGGGCCGGUUUAUCUUUUCAAGAUGAACCUGGACUUUCUGUUAAUCACUUUGUCUUUAUCAACUGCCUUUAGCUUUAGAUAUAACUGAUCAAUUAAGCAUUAGCCCCCAAGUGCCAAGUUUAAUACUUGUAUUGAACCUUGGGACUUUUGAAAUAUCUGGUUUAAGAAGCAAUCUGCAUUAGGCCCCAAGUGUCAAGUGUAUAACUUGGUAUGCACUUGGGACUUUAAGAGAUACUAACCACUUUAUCAUCUGACUUUGUAGGGUGAUAUAAAUACCAAAGAGUCUCAAAUCGCCGAUCUUCAAGAAAACAUCAAGUCCCAGCAAGAAGAGACCUCUAAAGCCAAAGAGGAGCUAAAGGGCGUUUUGACUGCCAUGGAAAAAUUGAAGGAUGGCUUCAAAACUUAACGCACCAACUGGGAGACCGAAAAGGCUACUCUGUUGAAGCGGGCUGAAGACGCCAAAGCGGCUCUUAAACCGAUGGAAGAAGAGCUGACUGGGCUGAAAUAUCAAGUGAACGCCAUGACAGCUAUAGUUUUUGGUAAGUACCUUAUAAUAGCCUGCUCUGAAGUAUUUUCAACUUUGCCGGUUUAACAUUAAGUUUUUAAACUGUCGCAGGAAAUCGCAUUGCUCAUCUAGGCGCAGAUAUGCAGAUGAAGUUGAAGGUAGCUUAUACAUUGAUUGAACAACUGUAUACUGGUGCACAACGAGUCAUCUCUGCAGCUUCAUACAACAAACCGGCACCCACCUUGAUCAAGGAUACCUUGGCCAGGCUCUCAAUGACUCCUGCUCAGAUAGAGGAGGUGAAGCGAUCGGCUGCUAGAGCAGGCGCUUUGCUAGCGCUGACUCGUGCCAAAUCAUGGAUAGCUUAUCUGGAUCUAGUUGAUAUCGCCAAGGGCUAUCCGGAUGAACAAGAAAACGGAUCAGCAUCCGAUAAUGAAGCCCUCAAGGCCCUUAUGAAGGAGAUGCGUCCGGUAGCAAGUCAGUUGGCUGACAAGGUGAAUUUGACUUCGCAUCGGUCCUUCUAUGAUGCCAACAACCAUCGAGUUGACACUGCUGUGAAGGAAGUGCAGAAUGUUAUUCCGCCAGUUCGUAAGCACACUUAUGCUCCGGACGUUGAACCAUCGAAUCUUAUAAGUGAAGAAGCUGUCUUUCAAGCUUUAAGCCAGAUUGACUGGACCACCGUUGACUUCCAGCCAUUGGGUGGAGAGGAGGAGGUUGAACCGAUGCCUGAAGAUCCAUCAACAUCACGUCAACCUGGUGAUGAGUCUUGAUCCAGUGAUAUGGUUAUUGUCACAGACUUUGUUCUGUGUAAAAAUAAUCAUUAUUUUGGGCCUCAAAGUGCCUUGUAAUAGGCUAGUUAAAAUACUUUGCUCUGUGGCACUGAUGCAUGACGUUGUUGAUCCGCCAUGAUAUUUGCUGUGCUUGAUUACACUGUGAUGAUUUUCAUGCGAUUCUGAUAUCUGCAUAAAAAGAAUUGUCCUGGCGGUUUACCGCCGGACGGGUCAUAAUGCCCAAGAUAAAGCCUGCCUAAUAACCAAAGCUGAAUAAAUAUGAAAUAACUCAUACCUGUGAUAUGAAAUCACUUAGUUGGUUUACCAACUUUCAUUGUAGUAAGGGCGAAGACCCAAAUCUUGAGUUUUUCUAACUCUCACCAUUGAGUGAUGUCAUUUAAUAAGUCAUGCCAGGUUAUAAUGAACACCAGAUGAUCAAACUGGCGACAUGUAGUCAAAGCCAGGUCGGGUUUUCAAUCACCGGUUUGAUAAUAUGGUUUGACAACUUGUAGUUGAAAGCCAAGCCGGGUUAACAAACACCGGGUUGAUAAUAUGGUGUGAAAACUUGUAGUUGAAAGCCAUGCCGGGUUAACAAACACCGGGUUAAUAAUAUGGUCUGACAACUUGUAGUUGAAAGCCGAGCCGGGUUAACAAACACCGGGUUAGUAUGAUGACUGAAAAGCCAUAUCGGGUCAAUAGACACCGGUUCAACAUAAAAUUCAUCAAAAGAGAAAAAAUCUUGACAAAGGCAAAUAAAACCGUGUAGUCGAGGCUUUUCAAGGGCUGCCAGGCCCAAAUUUGAGGCUUUUCAUGGGCUGCCAGGCCACUGAGUUAAACCAUUUUACAAAGCCUUUUAAGAUGGACCUCCAACUAACCAAUCGUUGUUUUAACUUUGACAAGUUCAGGGUCUGUAUAAGAUUGACUUGUCAAACGUUCGGCGGGUCAUGCCAGGAUUACCUGGAUAGGAAUGGCUUACUUGAUGAAGGCAGGUUAACCCGGGGUUUUAGGUGAAUACACCAGGCUUCCAAGCCGUGGGUCGAUACCCAAUUACAAGGGUCCUUUCAAACUCUUUGUUAUUUUACACAAAGAGCCCCCAAGUAACUUUGUGAGCUGUGCUCAUUGGGUGCCUAUGUUUGAGCUGUGCAUAGCAUUCAAACUCUCUUUGGCCCCUUGGGUGUGAAGCUCCCAAGCUGUAUUGUGGCAUGAUAGCCGGUUUAACAGGUAGUACUCCGCUUUGCCAGCUGAAGCCCCCAUGUGACUCAAAAGAUAUUUGAGAAAAAACAGCAGAGGCCCUGCUUAGAGCAAGGAUGCUGGUUUAUUAUAUUGAUCAUAAUAUAUACAUUGUCGAAAUAUGUACAUAAGAGAAGCCUAUGGCUCAAGUAUAGUAAGGCCGAAGGAGAGCUAUGUUCCACGGCCUCCGGGUCUCCUCCUCAGAACCGCGUGAGUUGUCUCGAACGUCAAUGAGGUAGUAUGAUCCAUUGUGCAGAUUCUUGUUGACCACAAAGGGUCCUUCCCAAGGUGGGGAUAACUUGUGCAUAUCAGUCUGAUCCUGGAUGAGCCAGAGCACCAAGUCGCCUUCUUGAAAGGUUCUUGUUUUAAUCUGGCGGCUGUGAUAACGCUGCAGGUCUUGCUGAUAAACCGCCGAACGAGCUAAAGCCAUGUCCCGUUUUCAUCUAACAGGUCCAACGCCUCCUGGCAUGCUUGCUCAUUGUCCGCUUCAACAUAAUUGGCAACCCGGGCGAAUCAUGACGAAUGUCACUUGGGAGGACCGCCUCUGCCCCAUAAACCAUGAAAAAAGGUGUGUAACCCGUUGAUCUGUUGGGAGUGGUGUUGAUGCUCCAUAACACGGAAGGCAAUUCUUCCACCCAACAACCCGGCGUCCGCUUUAAAGGAACCAUGAGCUGGGGCUUGAUACCCUUCAAGAUUUCUUGGUUGGCUCUCUCAGCUUGACCAUUGGACUGGGGGUGUGCCACGGAUGCUAAAUCAAGCCGGAUGUGCUCUCUCUGACAGAAAUCCUCCAUCUCACCUUUAGAAAGGUUUGUGCCAUUAUCCGUGAUGAUGCUGUGUGGAAAGCCAAAGCGGAAGAUAAUCUUUUUGAGAAAUUGAACCGCCGUAGCUGCAUCACACUUGCUAACGGGCUCUGCUUCAACCCAUUUAGUGAACUUGUCAACCGCCACCAACAGGUGGGUCUUCUUAUCCUUGGAGCGCUUAAAGGGCCCCACCAUAUCAAGCCCCCAAGUGGCAAACGGCCAAGUGAUCGGAAUCAUCCUUAAUUCUUGAGCCAGAACAUGAGCUCGGCGUGAAAACUUCUGACAAGCGUGACACCGCUUUACUAGAUCCUCGGCAUCAGCAUGAGCUGUCAACCAGUAGAAUCCAUGACGAAAAGCUUUAGCAACCAGGGACUUUGAACCAGCAUGGUGACCACAAUCCCCUUCGUGAAUCUCACGUAGAAUCUCUUGGCCUUCUCCAGGAGAAACACAACGCUAAAAUACGCGUGAAACGCUGCAGCGGUGUAACUCGCCAUUGUGAAUAACCAUGGACUUGGAUUGCCGGACUAUCUGCGGGGCCAGAACUUCAUCGUCUAGUAACUCGACCUGGUUCAUAUACGCCAAAUAUGGAACUGUCCAAUCCGGCACAACGUGUAAAGCGGCCACUAAUUUAGCCUCCAGAUCAGGAACAACCAAAUCCUCCUAUGUAGGCAACUUAACAGACGGGUUAUGCAAGAUAUCUAAAAAGGUAUUGGGAGGUACCGGUUUACGCUAAGAUCCCAGCCGGCUUAAAGCGUCUACCGCUUCGUUUUUGCGCCGAUCAAUAUGCUCAACUUGAUACCCGUUGAAGUGACCCGCCACAAUAUCCACCUUGCGUCUGUAAGCCGCCAUGAGUGGAUCCUUAGAAUCCCAAGUGCCAGAAACUUGCUGGGCCACCAGAUCAGAGUCUCCAAAACAUCAUACCCGGCUUAAAUUCAUCUCCUUGGAUACACGGAGCCCGUGUAUUAACGCCUCGUACUCAGCUGCAUUGUUAGUACAGGGGAACAUUAAACGGAGAACAUAACAAAUUUUAUCACCUCGAGGGGAAGUAAGGACAACUCUAGCCCCUGAGCCCUCCAAUUGCCUGCAUCCAUCAAAGUGAAUAGUCCAGUAUGUGUUAUCCGGUUUGUCCUCUGGUGCCUGUAACUCGGUCCAAUCAUUGAUGCAGUCGACAAGUGCCUGAGAUUUGAUGGCUGUUCGAGGCAUAUACUUCAACCCAUGUGGACCAAGCUCAAUUGCCCACUUUGCAACCUGGCCAGUUGCCUCCCUGUUCUGAAUUAUAUCACCCAAAGGAGCUGAACUGACCACUAUAAUGGGAUGGCCUUGAAAGUAUUGUUUGAGCUUCCGACUCGCCAUAAAAACCCCAUAUACCAGCUUCUGCCAAUGCGGAUAUCGUUGCUUUGACUCGAUAAGCACUUCACUGAUAUAGUAAACCGACCGUUGAACCGGAUAUUCCUUUCCCGCCUCCUUGCGCUCAACCACAAUUGCCACACUAACAACACGGGCAUUAGUAGCCACGUACAACAACAAGGGUUCUUUGUCAACCGGAGAAGCAAGAACCGGCGGUUCAGCCAAUUGCCGCUUCAAGUCUUCAAACGCCGCAUUAGCCGCAUCACUCCAGACAAAGGUGUCUGUUUUGUUCAACAUCUGAUAUAGGGGGAUCGCCUUCUCUCCCAAGCGGCUAAUAAACCGGCUUAGGGAUGCAAUUCGACCUGCCAGACAUUGAACAUCAUCAAUGCACGCCGGUUUAGCCAAAGAUGUAAUCGCUUUGAUCUUCUCCAGAUUAGCCUCAAUGCCUCUGUUGGACACCAAAAAACCUAGAAGCUUGCCUGCCGGAACGCCAAAAACACACUUGUCCGGAUUAAGCAUCAUCUUAUACACCCGAAGAUUGUCAAAGGUUUCCUUGAGAUCAUCUAUGAAUGUCUCCUUCUUCCUGGAUUUUACUACAAUGUCAUCUACAUAGGCAUGAACAUUGCGCCCAAUCUGAGUGUGAAGACAAUUUUGCACACAGCGCUGAUAAGUUGCCUGGGCACUCUUGAGCCCAAAAGGCAUAGAAACAUAGUAGAAGGCUCCAAAGGGGGUGAUGAAGGCGGUCUUCUCCUGGUCCUUAACUGCCAUUUUGAUUUGAUGAUAACCUGAAUAGGCGUCCAAGAAACUCAAACGCUCACAACCCGCCGUCGCAUCAAUGAUCUGAUCAAUACGCGGGAGAGCAAAAGAAUCGGCCGGACAAGCCUUGUUCAAAUCUGUGUAGUCCACACACAUGCGCCAAGUGCAGUUUUUCUCAAGAACCAGCACCGGAUUAGCCAACCACUCAGGGUGAAAUACUUCGAUGAUAAAGCCAGCAGCCAAUAGCCGGGCUACCUCCUCACCAAUGGCCUUGCGUCUUUCCUCAUUAAAGUGAAAAAGAAACUGCUUGAUCGGUUUGAACUUGGGAUCAAUAUUGAGAGUGUGCUCAGUGAGUUCCCUCGGUACACCUGGCAUGUCAGAAGGCUUCCAUGCAGAAAUGUCCCGGUUCCCACGGAUGAACUCGAUGAGCGCGCUUUCCUAUUUCGGAUCCAGAUUUGUGCUGAUGCUAAACUGUUUGGAUGAAUUGCCAGGAACAAAGUCAACAAGUUUAGUCUCAUCAGCCGGUUUGAAUUUCAGGUUAGGGUCAUGCUCAGUGGUGGGCUUCUUCAGAGGGGUCAUGUCUGCCGGAUCAACAUUGUCCCUGUAGUGUUUCAACUCCUCUGUAGUGCAAAUCGACUCAGCAUAAGCCGCAUCACCUUCCUCGCAAUCCAAAGCGAUCUUACGACUUCCGUGAACUGUAAUGUUCCCCUUGUGACCCGGCAUCUUGAGCUGCAAAUAAAUAUAACAGGCCUUCCCAUGAACUUUGCAUAAGCCGGUCGUCCAAACAGUGCAUGAUACGGGCUCUAGAUCCUCACUACUUCAAAGGUCAAUGUUUCAGACCGGGAGUCAUGCUCAUCACCAAACACAACCUCCAAAGCGAUCUUGCCAACAAGAUAUGCCGAUUUACCUGGUACUACACCAUGAAAAACAGUGUUUGACGGUUUAAGACUCUUGUCUGUCAACCCCAUGCGACGGAAGGUCUCAUAAUACAGAAUGUUGAUACCGCUCCCUCCAUCCAUAAGCACCUUGGUGAACUUAUAACCUCCCACCUGAGGUGCCACCACUAAGGCCAGGUGACUCAGAUUGUCAACCCAGGGCGGAUGAUCCUCUUUGCUCCACACAAUGGGUUGCUCGGACCACCGCAAAUAACGUGGUACUGCCGGUUCAACAUCAUUAACUGCUCUCUUGUGAAGCUUCUGAUCGCGCUUGCCCAAACUAGUAGUGAACACAUGAUACUGCCCACCAUUCAACUGCUUUGGAUGACUCUGAUAACGUGACUGCUGCUGAUUUCCUUGAUUAUUCUGUUGGUUAUUACCACCUUGGUUGUUCUGGUUGCCCUGAUUAUUCUAAAAUCCAGAUUUUGAACCGCCACCACCAUGAAAACCUAAACCUGAACUGCCCGAUGGACCCUGAUCAUACCGAAAGAGAUCAGAGUUUUUGAACUCCUUCAUAAUGUGACAAUCUUUCCAAAGAUGUGUUGCUAGAACCUUCUUGGUUUCGUGCUUUGGGCAGGGCUGGUUUAACAAAUGCUCCAGAUUCAUACUACCGCCACGCUAGGGCGGUUUACCCUUACGAUGCUGCAUAUUAGUGUUAGCCACAAAAUCUGAAUUAUCUGCUUUGCGCUUACCAUUGUUCCCAUGGCCCCCUUGGUUAUGCUGCUGUCCCUUUGCACCACCAUUCUUCUUUCCCUUCUCCGGUUUCUCCCCAUCAGAAUCGGGAUCCCUGGUAUUAUCAAAAUCGGCAUAUUUGACCAAGGCUGCCAUAAGGGUCCCCAUAUCAUUGCAGUGGCGCUUGAGCCGUCCCAACUUCAUCUUCAGUGAUUUAAACCGGCAAUUGCAUUCCAAUGUUAUGAUUUCCUAGCCAGCGUUAAUCCAAUCCGAUGAGUGCAAAACUUCUGAAACCCGACGCACCCAAUGAGUGGUUGACUCGUUCUCCCCUUGAAAACAAGUAUCCAAAUCCACAAUGGACAUAGGCUGUUUACAUGUAUCCUUGAAAGUGGCUAUAAACCGGGCCUUCAAUUGGUCCCACGACUCGAUGGAGUUAGCUGGUAGAUUCUUCAACCAUGUACGGGCUGUUCCCUCUAACAUCAUUGUGAAGUACUUUGCACAAGCCGCUUCAUCCACAUCCAGCAUUUCCAUUGCCAUCUCACAACUUUCCAGCCAUGCCUCGGGAGGUUGAUCAGCGGUGUAAUUAGGCACCUUACAUGGACCCUUGAAGUCUUUAGGCAGCCGCACAUUAUGGAGAGCCGGAAUGAGACACGGUACUCCCCAGGAACUGAAGGCAAGCCCGGUGCCCUGGUCUACUGACGUUGCUGGCUGAACCGGGGCGGGUUGAUAACGACCCGCGUACUGUGCUGCUAAAGCGGCCUCCCUUCAUGCUCUACCAUUAUCCACCAGAUCCUGAGCAUUUACCUAACCACGCGCCGGAUUGGGUCCUUGAGGGACAAUACGGCGCCGUGCACUGCUGGACACCUCCGGUUCAUCUAUAUGCCUGCUAUAGCUUUUUCUCGGACGUGGGGUCGUGUGAAUCCCGUCUCGGCUAUACGAGUAAGCUUUCUGCUAUGUCAUAGCAGUUUGAAGAAGAUCCCUGGCCCGCCGUGUCUCAACCGCCACUAGCGAUUCACCUUGUAUCGGCAUAGCUGCCAGCCGGGAUGUUGCUGCUAUCAUAUUAUCCAAAGGGGUAGAGAAGUGACCCGGCAGGGGUGUGGUAUACCGUGGCGGGUUGUCUGUCCGUCGAGGUGGACCCAUCACCUGAGGUUGAUCCGGCGCUCCGGUCCUUGGCACAAUAGUCCGGUUGACUGCUGCAGGAUUGCUCGUCCCUGCCCCUGGUGUGUCAAAGAGAUUCAUCGCAUUGUAAUCCGCCGACAAGCGAGAUUGAUGUUUCCUCCUGAAUACUUCAUUCAAAGCAUUCUGAUCCAUCAAAAUUCGAUAAUUCUCGGCUUGAAUCCUCUGCGCCUGGGCAUCUAAAGCGGCCCGUUCCUCAGCCAUCCUGGUAUCUUCUGCCGCCAAGUCCUCCUUGGCUUGCGCUAUCUGAUCCCGUAACUUAGCGACCUCUGCAUUAUGCCGAUCUUGAGUCUCUGGGGUAACUGUUGUGGCCAAUAACAUUGUCCAGUCAUCCAUCAAUCCGGACAGAACUUGAGCCGGCCGGCGCGCGGAGCCUCCUGCCCCUGCUGCUAGUCCAGAUGCCGCUACGAUAGAAUUUUGCAAAGUUGGCUGUGUUCCGGCCAUGAAGAUUCCGACUCGAUUUGGCGGUUCGAGAAAUUCCGGAAUACUGGUGCCAUCAGAAUACCCUUCGAAUACACCGUCAUGAACUUGGUAUAGGGACUCGGUUUCACCGGCGGAUGAUUCACCGUCGGAAUAAGCAACCGUCUCUCCUUCGGACACUGGUUCAGAUCCGAUCCCGUGGACACAUCCUACAAACGCACACUUCAUGGUGGGCUGAAUCCGAGCGGGGCCUGCACUCUGAGCCGUCUCGACGAGGUCGGUGCAGAUGUCCGGCUCAGGGCCCGGUUCGCCGAUCUUGCCGAUGAAAACGUGAAUUCCGCCAAAGGGGACCCGAUACCCAUACUCAAUUGAGCCGGACUUGGGGCCCCACCCUGCAUCGUCGAUGUAGAGCUUGCCGCGACGACUCUUGGUCAUCCGGCCAACCACGUAUCCUUUGAGUCCUUCAAAGCUGCCCUUCAAGAACUCGAAACCAUCGUGCGAUAGCCCCACGGUGGGCGCCAACUGUCAUGGAAAUAUCACGUCAGAUGUCCUCGUACAAGGACUUAGUCGUGGAGCUAUCGCGACGGGUUAGCUUAAGGGGUUAAACCGGACAAAGGACACGAGGGUUUUUAUACUAGUUCGGCCCCUUCGAUGAAGGUAAAGGCCUACGUCUAGUUGUGAUGGGAUUAUUGGGGUCUCGAUAACCAGGGAUCUAAACAUGCUAUGCCUGGCUUUCAAGUUGUUGUUUCUUGUCAAAGCACACUGCUAAGGAGGAAUUUGCAGCUAUGGGCAAGGGAAAAGGGAAGACAAAUUUGUCCAGCUUUGUUAACCUUAGCGCCAAGGAGCUUCAUUCGGGAUUCUUAAACCGCCUCUUCACAAGCCGGGAUUAUGAGGCCGGUUUAGUGAACUUAAUGAAAGAGCGCUAUGAGGUAAUCUUCAAAACACUUUAAAUUUGCUUGCAAUGUAUAUUCACUCCAUAGAAACUGUGAUGGAGGAUAAACUAGAGGUCGGGGUUACCGGCACACGACUUGGUGUAUCUUGAUGUGUUCCGGGUGCUAGCCCUGCCCCUCUAUUUAUAAGUUGAGCCUUGGGGUCAAAACUUUGAGAAAGAGCUCCAGGACCACACGCUAGGGUCCUUGGCAUCUGCCCCAGACGCCAGGGUCCCUGGCGUCUGGCCCCUGGCCUCCGCAAAACUUCCUUUUGCUUCUUCCAUAAACCUCAUGGGCUUUACCCCUUGGCGCAAAUAAAGUGUUCUCGUAACGAAACAUUUCCAGAACAUCCGAAACUCCUUCCGGAGACUAAACACUAUUAUCCCAUAUAUUAAUCUUUACCUCUGGACUAUUUCAGAGCUCCUCGUCAUGUCCAUGAUCUUAUUUGGAACUCCAAACAGCAUUCGGUCACCAACAUACAUAACUCAUAUAAAACUAUAUCGUCAACGAACGUUAAGCGUGCGGACCCUACGGGUUCGAGAAUGAUGUAGACAUGACCGAGACGCUUCUUCGGUCAAUAACCAAUAGCAGGACCUGGAUGCCCAUAUUAUCUACAUAUUCCAUGAAAAUAUUUAUCAGUCAAACCUUUAUGACAACAUACGUAGUUCCCUUUGCCUGUUGGUAUGUUACUUGGCUGAGAUUCGAUCGUCGGUAUCUCUAUACCUAGUUCAAUCUCGUUACCGGCAAGUCUCUUUACUCAUUCCGUAAUACAUGUUGUAUUACCGAGAGGGCCCAGAGAUACCUCUUCGUCAUACGGAGUGACAAAUCCUAGUCUCGAUCCAUGCCAACUCAACAGACACCUUCAGAGAUACAUCUAGAACACCUUUAUGAUCACCCAGUUACAUUGUGACGUUUGAUGGCACACACGGCAUUCCUCUGGAGUUUGGGAGUUGCAUGAUCUCAUGGUCGAAGAAACAUGUAUUUGAUAUUAAGAAAGAAGUAGCAAUAAACUGAACGAUCAUAUGCUAUGCUAACGAUUGGGCCUUUUCCAUCACAUCAUUCUCCUAAUGAUGUGAUCCUAUUCUCAAAUGAUAACUGAAAGUGCGUUAUAUCGACUAGAGGGGGGUGAAUAGGCAAUUUUUACAAAUUCGUCACUGAGGAAUUUCUAGGUGAAGAAAUUCCAAAGCAAUGACACACUAGUAGCGGCAUAAGUACUCAGGUAUAAAUAGAACAGAGCAACAACAUAGUCAUCAUGAUGAAAUGAAAACAAGCACAGAGUAUAGAUAGCGUGAUAACAGGAUAAGCAGGCUGAAGACUAAGUGACUAAAGAAUUUGGAAUGAGGAAUUAGAGAAAAUCUUCAGUCAAAGUCUUCAAAUAGUAAUGAUCAGGUUCAUCAACACAUGAAUGAGGAAAUGAAAGGUUUGAGGAAAUAGAACCAGUUGGCUUGGUGAAGACAAUGAUUUGGUAGACCAGUUCCAACUGGUGUGACAGUUGUACGUCUGGUUGGAGCGGUUGAGUAUUUAAACUCGAGGACACACAGUCCUGGACACACAGUCCUCAACAUAUUCUCCUUGAGCUAAAGUCACACAAACCUCGCCCAACACUCAUGGUAAGUCGUCAGGUGACUUCCAAACCUUUAUAGACUUGGUCACUCGGUGAUCCACAAUUCCUCUUGGAUGCUCAGACCAUGACGCCUAACCGUCUGGAGGAUACACAGUCCUAAAAGGUAACAAGCAUCCGUUCCACACAGGAACAAUCUCUUCGGUAAUGCUCAAUCACUUUGGGUUUGUAGGUGUUUGGGUUUGGGUUUUGGGUUUUCCUCACUUGAUGAUUUUCUCUCAAAGUCCUUGGAGGAUGGUAUGCUCUCAAUGACAAGUGUCAGUUUCUCUUGGAGCAGCCAACCAGCUAGUGGUUGUAGGGGGCGGCUAUUUAUAGCCUAGGAAGCAGCCCGACAUGAUAAGACAUAAAUGCCCUUCAGUAAUAUGACCGUUAGGUGGGUAGAUAUUUUGGACAGCUGGCACAUAGCAUAGUAACGGUCUGAUAUUUGAGGUUCAAAUUCCUCAGGGCUAUCAUGUUCCUCACUGUGUAGGCAAUCCGCACUAGCGAAUUCCUAACUCCUCAGUCAGAACAAAUUCCUGAGAGACCAGAAGAUCUUCAUCUCUGUCACUGAAGAAAUUGACUGAACUGAUAUGAGAUUUCCAAAGGCUUCACUCGAAAGGAUUGGGUAGAUGUAGGAUUUUGAGAUGAGCAUCACUUGGAAAUCAGUUUCCUUAGUAUUACCUCGACCCCCUUUAACAGUACGGUGUUUCCUAUGACUCAAGAAAGAGAAAAUGAAACUACGAAAACAAAAGUCUUCACACUUCAUAAUCCUCGCAUGAAUAUCCAAGUCUUCAAGGUCACACCAAUUUCUUCACUUUCAAAAUCUUCAGGAGAACCAAAGUCUUCAGCUGAAGAAAUACAUUUUUAGGGGUCAACUUUCAUCAUAAAUAUCAAACUCCUCAUCGACUUAUAGAGCAUGUGUACACUCAGAAACAUAUUAGUCCCUUAACCUAUAAGUCUACAAUACACAAAAAUCACUAAGGGGCACUAGAUGCACUUACAAUAACUCAUGUCUAUGGUUAGGAAACCUUAACCAUGUUUUGAUCAAUGAGCUAGUCUAGUAGAGGCUCAUUAGGGACACAUUAUUUGUUUAUGUAUCCACACAUGUAUUUAAGUUUCUGGUCAAUAGAAUUCUAGCAUGAAUAAUCAACCUUUAUCAUGACUAAGGAAAUAUAAUAAUAAUAACAACAACUUCAUUAUUGCCUCUAGGGCAUAUUUCCAUCAGUCUCCCACUUGCACUAGAGUUAAUAAUCUACAUUACAUUGUAAUGAAUCUAACACCCAUGGAUUCUUGGUGAUGAUCAUGUUUUGCUCGUGGAAGAGGCUUAGUCAACGGGUCUACUACAUCAACGGGUCUACUACAUUCAGAUCCUUAUGCACUUUACAAAUUUCUAUGUCUCCAUCCUCGACAUAUUCGCGAGGAAUUGAAGCAUCGCUUGAUGUGUUUUGUUCUCUUGUGAAACCUGGCUUCCUUCACGAAGGCAAUUGCUCCAGUGUUUUCACAAUGGAUUGUCAUUGGACCCGAUGCACUGGAUAUUACCCCUAGAUUAGAUAUGAACUCCUUCAUCCAGACUCCUUCAUGCGCUUCUUCCGGAGCAGGUAUGUACUCUGCUCCACACAUAGAUCCCUCCACGACACUCUACUUAGAACUGCACCAACUGACAACUCCACCAUUUAAUAUAAACACGUAUCCAGUUUGUGACUUAGAUUCAUCCGGAUCUGUGUCGAAGCUAGCAUCAGCGUAACCCUUUAUGACAAGCUCUUCAUCACCUCCAUAAAUGAGAAACAUAUCGUUGGUCCUUUUCAUGUACUUCAGAAUAUUCUUGACCACUGUCCAGUGAUCCACUCCUAGAUUACUUCGGUACCUCCCUGCCAUACUUAUGGCAAGGCACAAAUCAGGUCUGGUACACAGUAUGUCAUACAUUAUAGAACCUAUGGCUGAGGCAUAGGGAAUGACUUUCAUUCUCUCUCUAUCUUUUGUCGUGGUCGUGCUUUGAGUCUUACUAAAUUUCACACCUUGCAAAAUAGGCAAGAACCCCUUCUUGGACUGAUCCAUUUUGAACGUCUUCAAAAUCUUAUCAAGUUAUGUGCUUUGUGGAAGUCCUAUCACUACAAAAAAAUACACUUCCGUGAUGAUACGUGUUUGUCACAGUAGGUCACGUUUUUUGUCAUGCAUGUACAUCCAUGAUGAUUUUAUGACAGAAUCAAGAUAGUCAUACCUGUGCUGUCGUAGAAGUGUUCCAUGACAUUACCAAAAUUAUCAUCAUGGAAGUGUCCACUUCCAUGACGAUAAAUCGCGCGUCACAGAAGUGCUUUCGUAAAGGGUGACCGACACGUGGCAUCCACCAUAACGGAACACCGUUAAGCUAUCGGGUCGGGUUUUGGAUCCGAUUACCCGUUAAAAGCCCCGACCAAUGGGGAUAUUCCACCUGUAAAAUCAUCAUUGGCUGGAGGAAACACGUGUCGGCUCAUCGUGGGGACAAAUGUCAUCCACUCAUUGGACAAAAGGCGCCUAUGAUACGUCGACACGUGGCACGGCCCAACAAAGGCCCAUUCCUGUGAAAAGGCCGGCCCAUUUGACUUGGUCAAAAGGUGGCAGGCCGGCCCACGGAAAGCCUCUUAACGGCCUAUUCGCAUAUAGCCCAUUUACUACCUGCAAACACAGGGCCCGUUACUGCCUAUCCGAAUUAGGCCCAGUAGCAUCAUCUGGGCUGUCCAAUAUGAUUCCAACCCAUUUUAACUUCCGGCCCAUGUAUGGCCCAUGAUGUCUUUCGGCCCAUAUGAGGCCCUUUGUAACUCUUGGCCCAUUAAUGGCCCGUGCUGAAACUGGCUCAUAAUGAAUAGUGUAUGACUUUAUACCCAUUAAUGGCCCAUUAUUCCAUUGGGCUGUUUCCAACCCAUGUUAUAUUUUGGCCUUCUCAGGGCCCAUUUUAUUCUUGGGCUCAUUUCUAGCAUUCAGUUACUUACGACCCAUUACUGUCAUUUUCUGCUUGUGGGCCAAAUUCAACCCUUUGUUACAGUCGGCCCGUUUGUGGCCCGUUAAUACGUUGGGCCAUUUUCAUAGCGUCAUCAAAUUCGGCCUAUUAACGACGACCCGUUAUGGUCGGCCCAUGAAUGGAUGAUUCCAACUCUAGCCCGUUUACGGACAUAAUGCGAUCUGUUAUUGGCCCAUGUUUGGCCGAUCGAUCGUCCGUCCCAUAUAAGGCCCAUUGAUGAUACGGCCCGUAGAAGGCCCGUUGUGUGUACGGCCCGUAGAAGGCCCAUUGUUUCUACGGCCCGUAGAAGGCCCAUUGUUUCUAUGGCCGGUAGGAGGCCCAGUGCCACUACAGUAAAUAUGUAGCCCAUGGUUAUUGUGGCCUAGUUUUAAAAAAUAGGUUAUUGCGGCCACUAGCAAACCAUAGAAAAAGAACUGCGCUGACUACAAGCAAACAAAUAAACAAGACAACAAGGAAAUAAAUAAGCAAGCAACUUAUGCUAGGCUAUCACGGCUAUUACACAUAUUACAUCCACUGGGCAUCAAAGUUCGGCACCAGUGCAAAUAUAGGGAACAAAGCAGCAUAUAAACACCGCAGCAAAACAAGUCCAGAACUGAAACCACUUCAGAAGAGCUCAAGAAACAAUAUCUUGGGUACCCAUAAUGCUGGCAAGAUGCUUAGCAAGCUUAUUAACUUUCUCUUGUUUGGCGCUUAAAUCCUCCAGCGCUUGCUGUUGCAAAAGAAAUUACGCAUCUGAAUUCUGCAGGGACUUCCUCAGUCCUUCGGCUUCUUGCCGCAGCACAGUUGACUGAUGCCUUUCAGCUUGUAGCUGAGACUGAAGAAGCCGAAGUGAUUCAGGCAGCGAGUUCGAAGAGCUUGUGCCAGCAGUACUGGCCAGUAACUCGAACACUACAUCAACGUAGGACUGUGGGGUUUUCUCACUGUCUACAAGAUCGUUUUUAUCACCUUUCUUGGAGACCAACAGGGUUGUCUCACUAUCUUGAACCUUAUCUACAUUACUUUCUCUACCAUUGCAUAGUGGGGUGCUCUUCUCCAAUAUUCUGUUUGCGUACUACAAGAGAAACAAGCAGACACAUCACAUGUUUAGCUUGUAGUAUACGCAACUCAUUCUGGUAAUCCGGUUCAGUAGUAAGGUGGACAGGAUAACAGCAUGAAACAAACAUAUACUACCUCCGUCCGGAAAUACUUGUCACCAAAAUGAACAAAAGGAGAUGUAUCUAGAUAUAUAUUAGUUCUAGAUACAUCCAUUUUUAUCCAUUUUGAUGACAAGUAUUUUCGUACGGAGGGAGUAUCUAUGUACUAUGGUCAUUGUAUUGUCCAUAUCAUUCUAGUUUAUGUUGCCUAAUCAAGAUAGAGACACAGUUCAACUCAUAUAUUUUUAAGACACAACAACAUAGAGAGAAUAUAAGUGUGAGAAAGUACACAACAUUGGCAUCACUUUUAAUGUGCAUCACAUGAGAACAUAACUGUUUAGACAACUUAAACUGAAAUCAACAUAGAGCAAGAAGUUAGAACAACAAUCCAGUUAAAGAAAUAGGUUUAAAACAUACAUGUUGCGCCAUUGGAGUUUCAAUUGGAUCCUUCAAAUUCGAAAGUAGUUGGUAUGAGUAAAUACAAUGAUGCAGCAACAAAGGAUUAUGGACUAUAGCUAUGGAAUCUGACUUGAGAAUAGUUGCUCUUCUGCUUUAAACGUGGAGUUUGCGUUAGUUGUGGUGGCACUACUAGGAAAAGAGCUAUAGAUGGGAUGGGCACUAAUGGCGCACCUUUCAGGUGGUGCGCCACUACUAUAUACUAAUGGCGCACCAUUUGAUGAUGCGCCAUUAGUGUGGAAGACACUAAUGGCGCACCAGACACACGGUGCGCCACUAGUAAUAUUCUUUUCCAUUUUUCCAUACAUACUAAUGGCGCAUCCGAGCGAAGUGCGCCAUUACUAGUUCUAACUAGUAAUGGCGCACCAGUCACAGAGUGCGCCAGUACUGUAUUCUUUUUUUUAUUCUUUUUUUUGCAAAACUACUAAUGGCGCACCGUGUCACAGUGCGCCAUUACUAGUUUAAACUAGUAAUGGCGCACUAUGACUCGGUGCACCAUUAGUAUAUAUAUUUUUUUUACUUUUUUGCAAAAGUACUAAUGGCGCACCACCUGCAGGUGCACCAUUAGUAACUAGGGUUACUAAUGGCGCAUUUGCAGGUGGCGCGCCAUUAGUAACCUGGGAGCCCAACAAGAUAUUUUGGACAGCCACACCUACCCACUCACUUUCCCCACUUCAUUCCCUCCACCUCCUUCUCCAAGCUUUCGGCCACCUCCUCCUCCUCACCUCAUUUGCACCAUAGAUUCAUCAAAAUUAAGUGGUGAAAUUACCUUUUUUUGAUAGGUAAGUAAGGGUAAAGCUAUCUUCAUGUUGUAGAUCUACUUUUUUUUCU
Molecule: long non-coding RNA, 65169 nt
Filed under: Triticum aestivum (bread wheat)
Lineage: Eukaryota; Viridiplantae; Streptophyta; Magnoliopsida; Poales; Poaceae
Description: long non-coding RNA (TAES_LNC010545)
Rfam family: MIR1120/MIR1122 microRNA precursor family (bases 63910-64044)
Source: RNAcentral